RNAcentral lists this long non-coding RNA (47357 nucleotides) under Panax ginseng (ginseng). Its description in RNAcentral is "long non-coding RNA (PGIN_LNC008480)". The record is from RNAcentral. Lineage: Eukaryota; Viridiplantae; Streptophyta; Magnoliopsida; Apiales; Araliaceae.
UCUCAACUAAUAAUUUUAUUAGCCAAGAGACAUAUACAAUAUAUAUUUGAAAAUUUAAGAUUUAUUUAUAGCAAUCAAGCAAUGGCAAAUUUGGCACCGAGGUCCAUUGUGGUGGCACUUUUCCUCCUCGCAAUAGUUCUCUCCCCAGCAAUGCCAUGUGAGGCAACUCGACUGCCUCAGCGAGGUUGAUAAAUAAUUCUAUAAAUGCAUUUAUUACAUAUAAUUAAUUAGUCAAUCAAUUCAUUUUCCUUUAGCAUAAAUUAAGUUUUCUGAUUUGUAUAAUUAAUUAAUUAAUGAAUUAUAUAGUUGUUGAUUUGAAUUAAAUAUGCCCACAGAGCUACUUCAGGGAGGCCCCAUAUGUCCUGCUUGUGUGUGUUGUACACCUCCGCCACCGGGCAAAUGUUGUCGUCGUUGCUGUGCUAAUCCAUCUCCUACCAGUCUUCAAUCUCAGAUUAUUAAUAAUGUUUCACCGUGAGAAAUCGAUAUAUCAAUCUCAAUCUCAAUCUCAAUCUAAACCUAAUAAUCCGCACUUAAUUUCAUAUAAUUAAUUUUACUAUAUACACCAUUAAAUAAUAGGAAACUUAUAUUUUUCACAUCAUUUUUUUUGAUAUUUUCACAUGUAGGGCCACAUAUUAGUUGAUGUGUCAAAUUUUUAUUAGCUAAUAUGUGGGCCCUGCAUUUAGAAAUAUCAAAAAAUAAUGUGAAAAUAUCAAUUUUCUACUUGUGUCAUGUUAGCGUGAUAUCAUGUGAUUAGUUGAUAAAAGUUUAUUAUGUAAACUUUCAAGUAUUUGUUUUAUUACAACUUUAAUGUAAGUCGAAAUAAGCAUCAAUAAAAUUAUAUAUAUUAUGUUUUGUUACAACUUUAAUCUACUUGCUCCUUUAGUUUCCACAUCAUAUUACUCUUUUAUGUUAGCCUCCUGGUAAACUUUCAAACCCGGUUAAAAAUAUGUAGUAAUCAAGUUACAUUGAACUCUACUUUGAAAAGUCUUUCUCGUGAGAGGUUUUUUAAAAAUUUAUAUGUGAACCUUUGUAUAAUUAAUUCCUCUUAAUAGUUGUAAAAAAUGAUAAUGAUAAUAUUAUAUAGGAGCAGGUUUUAACAAUAAAUCAUAAUUUCAUAAAAUUUAUAUUCUUAUUGUGGAUUAGAAAUAUUCGAUGAGAUAAGCAAUUGGGCCAGUGAUAAGGACCAACUGGCCAUCCGUAAAUAUCAAUGGUCAAAGUUUACACACUUUAAAAUUGGAUUGCAUAUCCUUUCUCCCAAUCAAAAGUCAAAAAGAAGAUUUAGUCCAGUUGAAAAGAUUAAUGGGAUCUUAGCCUAGUGGUUCAGACUAGGGCUGACAAAAUAUAGUUAUGAGUUACUUUUGGUUUUCAAAAUAUGGUUAUAGUUCCAUUUAAGAAUUAAAACCAUAUUAACCAUUUUUAAUAUGGAUUGUGUUAAUUAGAACUAUAUGGUUAUGGUUCAAAACCAUAUUAACCAUUUUAAGAUAUUUUGACUUUUAAACAAAAUUUUUGAAAAAUGAAAAUGUGACCGUCACAUUCAUCAUGAGAUUAUAUAAUCCCUCAUAAAUAGCCUUAAGAAUGACAAAAAAUAAUCUAUUGCACUAUUUAAAAUACUAUUAAUCCCCCUUCAUUCAUAAGAUAAAUUAAUCCGAAAUAGUGUUAAAUUAAGAGAAAUAAUUUAAUCCCGAAUAUGUUUUUUACAAACAAACAUCGCCCAAUAUAAUCUUUCUCCGUUGUUAGUUUUUAGAAUUGAAAACAUUUUAGUAAAAAUAUGUGACAUCGAAUUUAUCUUAAAAUGCCAGGAUAACAUAUUGGACGUGUUAUAUUGUACAACAUUUUGAGUUGUAAUGUACGGUACCAAAAUUGUACAUAAACUCUAAUGUACAACACCUAGACAUGAUGUCACUCUAAUAUCUUCUCCUCACCUGUUCAGAACUAUGAGUUGAAAAAUGGAAUGAGAUAUGGGUUGAAAAAUAGUUAAUCGGUUCAUAACUAUAUUUGUUUUAAAAAAUAUGGGUCCAAACUUUAACCAACUUGAAUAAAUAAAAAUGAUUAACAAACCUAUUUAGUUCCAGUUAAUAUGAUUUGAACCAACAGUUAAUUAAUUAUAUUGUCAGGUCUAGUUCAGACUGUGGUAUAAGUAGCUCACCUUUUGGGUCUCAUGUUCUCUUCUUACUUAAGUGAGUUUAUUUCUUAUUUUCUCUUUAUGUGAGACUUAUUUUUGGGUCUUUAUGUGAGGAGUUCUUCUACUGUGACCUGCGGGUAGCAAUCGGUCUAGCUAUUGGUGCAAUUUUUUAUUUUUUUUUACUCCUAAACAAUUAAUGUGAUUUAAUAGAAUUGAAAUUUUUAUAAAAUUCAGUAAUUUAGGUAUCACUUGGAUAUAUGUAAAAAAUAAGAUUUUACAGUCUGUGCAACCCUGUUUUUUACAUGUAUUCAAAUGACAUCUAAAUCACUGAAUUUUGUAAAAUUUUCAUUUCUAAUAAAUCACAUUAAUUGUUUGGGAGUCAUAAAAAAAAUAUCGGUCGAGAACGGUCCCCAAAAUCCGGUCACCCAAGACUUAUUGUUUUGUCAGACUUAUUUUUUGGGUCUGUGAGAUUUAAUUGGUUGCUGAUAAUGUACUUGAUUAUCAAAUUGUAUUAUAUAUAAAAAAUUUUCAUCUGGUUAUUUUGAUUGGUUGAGUCAUUCGUUUGUAAUUAACAUACAUACCAAUGCAAUGACAAAAUUCACACUUGGAUGAAAUUUGAUUGUUUCUGAUAAUGUAUUUAAUUAUGGAAUUAUAUUUUGAGAUUUAUUUUUAGGUGAAAUUAAUUUGAUUGAUUUUUGAUGAUAUAGUUGAUUAUAAAAUUAUAUUGUAUAAAAGAAAAUUGUCGUUACUUCAACUGAUUGAGUCAUUCGUUUGUGAUUAACUUGCCUACAAAUGCAAUGGCAAAAGUCCACACUUAUGAACUGUAAUAAAUAAUUAAUUAAACUGAAUGAGUCCAGCAAAAAAUAAUUAAACAAGGAUAUCUAUAUGGAACCAACGUAGUACUCCCUCCGUUCCUUAAUAUAAGUCGUUUUAGAAAAAAAAAAAUUGUUCCUUAAUAUAAGUCGUUAUAAAAUUUCAAGUAAGCAUUAAUUGCUUAGUUUCCAAUAUUAUCCCAAGUAUUAAAUAUAACUUUGGUUCUCUCACUAUUUUUUGUCCAAUAAAUAACGAACUCUUAUUCCAAUAUAAUUGGAAGAGUAAUAUAGACAAUUGAUAUUAUAAUUAAUGUAAUACAAUCAUUACCUUAAUACUUGUGCACAACUCUAAAAUGACAUAUAUUAAGGAACGGAGAGAGUAUUAUAUAAUAAUAAUAAUUAAUACGUGGAGUAUUAACAUGCAUGGAGAAAUGAAGGGAGAGCUGAGAUAGAGAGAUUUAUAAGAGAACUACAAUAUUAAACCUACUAUACCUACCCGUUUGAAAAUCAAAUUGUCCUUGGACUAGAGUAAAACAUAAAAGCAAGAUUAGAAUCAUGAUUAGCAUCAUGAUCUCCAUUGGUUGACUCAUCGAUCUUUGGGAAAUCAAAUUAAUUAUGGAGAGCCACCACAAACUUGGCAACUGAAGAGAUAAGUUGCUUUAAUUAAUAAUUGAAUAUAACUAUGGAAGGACAUAUCUAUGUACAGUUAAUUAAGUUGUACAUUCAAAGACAUAUUCAAGUAUAUAAAAUGAUAGAGUAAUAAAAUAUUUCUCUCUUUUCUCUACAACACUUACUCCUCAUUUAUUAGGACUCUCUAUUCCUAAAUACGUGACAUUUAAGAUUUUUGUACAGGAAUUAAAGAUGUAAAACUCCUAAAAUUAAAUUACUCCAUUAAAAUUACUAUGUAUUAUCAAAAACACUGUUUCAUAGAUAAAUGAAAAGUUAAAUUGUAGGUGAUAAAGAUAAGAGAGACGUAUUGUUAGAGGAUAGAGAAAAUAUAAGAAUUAAAGGGAGUAUACGAGUGAGAUAUUAUAAGAGAGAAAAAGUAGCUUUGAAAAAAUAAGAGAGAAUUAAAGAGAUUAUAAAAUGUUUAGGGGUAAUAAAGUAAAUAAUAUAACUAAUUCUCCUAGAAAUUUUAGAGCAUCGUAUAUUUAGGAAUAAGAAAUUUAUCCUAAAACGUUAGUUAUUAAAGAAUGGAGGGAGUAACUUGAGAUGCGUCUUUAGAUAUAGAAUUAAUGUCUCAACUCUCACGUCAGUGAGUCCUUCUAUGCAGACAGGUUUUUUUGACCGUGAAUCCCAUUACUCUCUCCUUCUCGAAACAUUGUUUUUAAUUUAUUUUAUUAAAACCAUAUGGUCUGACCCUCAAAACACGAUUAACUGAAUCUCAAAAAAAUCAAAUCCACAUCCAGGGGGUCAUCGAAGAAAGUCGGACAUGUUGAGUUCCAGGAUGGGUAAAAUGCAAAGUUGACCACUGAACUUUAGGGGUUUUUAGGUAUUGAGGCCUUUUCUUUUGGUCAACGCAAAUUGAGCCCCUUUCUAUUAAAAAAUUUGGACUUCGAGCCCCAGACGCCAUGUGUGCGUUGACCUACAUACGUGGCAGUUCUGACGUUGACAUUUUUUAUUUUAUUUUACAAGUGGACAGAGAUCGAGCUCUUUAAUUUUAAUAUUAUGAUAUGAUGGUUCAUACCAUAUAUAUAUAUAUAUNNNNNNNNNNNNNNNNNNNNNNNNNNNNNNNNNNNNNNNNNNNNNNNNNNNNNNNNNNNNNNNNNNNNNNNNNNNNNNNNNNNNNNNNNNNNNNNNNNNNUAGAUCAUAUACAGACGUGUCGAUUUUUCAAAUUCAUCAUCAAGAAAGAUGCUAGUACUGUAUAUAUAGUACUACCACCAUUGCACACAUACUUAAUAGUUUCAUUCUGUAUUUAUUUUUAAAAUUUUGAAGUUUUUCAAUAAUAAUUGAUACGUGUAUAUUUAAUUUUAAUAUUAUAAACUAUUAAAAAAAUUAUAACUAAUUAAAAAAAAUUUAUUUUCAAAAUUAAAUAUAUUCACAUCAAAUUUUAAAUUUCAUAUUCUGCGAAUUGAAUUCAUGUAAAAAGCAAGCAUACAAUUAUUUUUUGAAACAGAUGGAAUAUCAUUAAUAUCGAAACAAAAAAAAAUAUUCCCUCUAGUGUAAGUAGAAGAGCAUGCACAAUAAUACACAUGAAACUGUUAUUUUUUUUAUAUAUAAAAAAAAUGAUUUUUUCACAUAAAUAAUUAAUAAUUUUCAGGUACGUACAGUAAUACACAUGAAAUGUAAAAGAGAUUUAUCUACAAAUAUCAAUUUCUACAAACAUUCUUGUAUUUUAGAAAGAAGGAAAUAAUUAAUAAUAAUAAUAAUAAUACUAAUAAUAAUUAUUAUUAUUGUUAAUAUUAUUAUUAUUACUGAUAUUAUUAUUAGUAGUAUUAUUAUUUUAUUAUUUUGGUUUCUUGCAUGAGUCAGUAUAAGUUUUAGUAAUGCAUGAAGUUAUUGUUAUUAUUGUUAUUGUUAUUAUUAUUGUUAUUUGGGAAAUGAUUUGUUCAGUUAUAAAUAUUAAUCAUUGUAAAAUUAUAACAACUAGGCUUUUUUGCUCAGUUGGUCAUUGGUUCUAAGUAUUAAACUAGAGGUCUCAAGUUCAAAUCUUGGCAACUACAUAAAUGUUGGGAUCAAGUAUAAUAUUCGCCACGUCAGCCUGUCCACUUGUAAAAUAAAAUAAAAAAUGCUCACAUCAGAUCUGCCACGUAGGCGCCACGUAUGUAGGUCAACACACAUGUGGCGUCUGGGGCUCGAAGUCCAAAUUUUUUAAUAGAAAAUGGCUUAAUUUGCGUUGACCAAAAGAAAAGGGCUCAAUACCCAAAAACCCCUAAAGUUCAGUGGUCGACUUUGUUUUAUCCGUUCUAAGAUUAAGGAUACACCCAACAAUAGCCAGAUUUGGUUGGGCACUUUUUGAACUCUUGAGGAAGCCUCCGAGGUUUAUCUGACCAAGAAGAAUGAAUUGGAUGCUAUUAAAAGAGGUAUAGUUUCUUCUUCCCAUCAAAAAAGAAACAAACCCAUUGAUUUUUUAUUGAAGAAAUUAAAGAUCAUGUUUAUAAUGAAAAAAAUGUGGGUGCUUAUGAGAAUUGGGUUAAAACUCCUUUAGGAAGAGGUAUGGUUGCUUCCCACAGAAAAAGAAACAAAUCCAUUAACAUUUUUGGUGAAGAAAUUGAAACCUAAUAAAAGAAAAAUCAUGUUUACUAUUAAGAAAUUAUGGGUGCUUAUGAGAAUUUAUAUAUCUGUAUUUGCGAAACUUAUAUGUUUUGUGAAAUUUUAGUCUUCAGCUUUGGAUAUAUUUGUUUUAUUACCUAGAGAAUUUGGAGAGAAAGAGACAGGCAUGCACCUAAUAUAGGCUAUGUUCCUAUUUUUUAAAUAAAAAAAUGAUGGUAAUGUUUUUAGAUUGUUGGUGAAUUUUGGUUCUUUAAUUUAAGAUUAGAAGGUAAUUACUUUUACUUUAUUAAUAUUUCCUAUUGCUGCAACAUAUUUGUCGGUGAGGAAAUGGGGGAAUUGAGAGAAUAGGGAAGAUUGCAUCUUUUAGGCUUUGUUUGGAGCUCGAAAAAUGGGAAAUGAAAGGAAAAGGAAACUAUGGAGUUAGUUUUUGCAGUCGAGUUUAGCAUACCAUGAGUCCAUCACUUCAUGAGGACCAUGGCAAUCAAUUAACUAAUUAAAAGAUAUGACAGUCAAAAAAAUUGAUCUUAGGUAGUUUGUGCAUUUUCAUUUUGUUGAAUCCAGAUAAUAGUGUCAUCUGCAAUGUUAACAGAAUCUUUGAUGGGAGGAAAAGCUUUCUCAAGUCAAGUCUACAUGCCAACGGGCAACACCAUCCCAUCAAAUCAUUGAGGGCUCCAUAUCAUGAGUGUUUUACUUACCUACAUAAUCUAAAGCAGCUUUCCGAGCUUAAAGGACUUGUUGUUUAUUUUGUUCAAAAAAAUCUAAUAUACUUGUGUUUAGAUACUGUAAUGUAGACUACUAAUUUGUUAAUUGAGAUCUUGAUUUAUUUUUUGAUUUAUCAUCCCAAAAUUCUUUCUUCAUUCUCUGUAAUAAACUCUAUGAGAAUAGAGAGUCGAUGUUUUAGCAUGUGCUUUGGUUUGUAAUAUUUUAGGUGGAAUAAUAAUUGUGAAUCUUAGUCGUGGAAAAUAACUGAAGCUGAGAGCCAUUGCUCGAAAAGGAAUUGGUAAGGAUCGUGCCAAGUGGUCACCUGUUGCAACUGUUACUUUCAUGUAUGAACCCGUCAUUCAUAUGAAUGAAGAUAUGAUGGAGAGUUUAACACUACAAGACAAACAAAGUUUCGUUGAUAGCAGCCUAACUAAAGUCUUUGAAAUUGGGCAGUAUUACAAUGCACUACAGCAACAGCCUGAUGUUGUUUACUAGUUGCAAGCAAGAUGGUUCGAAUUGAUGAUAACAUCAUAGAGGCUUCCUUGGCAAUGUUGGGUAUGCUCAAAACAACUACCAUUUAAGGUCUAUACAACUGUGUCACACAGUGCAGUGAAACUACACAGAAAAACUGAAAUAGCUUAAUAGCUCAAGCUAUUGUAUCAUAGUUUUUUUAAUUACUUGGGGUAUGCCUCUAUGUAAAUCUUGAUUAUUUUUUUUAUGAAAUGAAAUCCAAUUAUUGUUUUCAUCAAUUUAGUUUGUUCUAAUAACUUCUCUUAGCAUGACAUAUAUUGUGUUUCUAAAGAUCUGGUAAGGAUCAGUACUAACUUUUACUUUAUUUACAUUAAAAGAGGACAGGCUUGCAAAAUUAAUGACAAAUAUUCAACAGGCUUGCAAAAAUGCCAAACAUUCAACAGGCUUGGUCAUCUGUACUUAUAUUAGUUAUAUUGCUACACAUUAAUUAUAAUUUUAUAAACAUGACAAACAUACAUGAAAAUACAUCAAAAAUAUUCAAAUUUCGUCAAACUUUUACUCGUAAACUUUCUUAUUUUACUUCUCCUUAAAUGGUGUCCCAGAAUUUGCAUGAUUGUUAAGACCAUAUGCACCAUUCCAAAAUGGGUAUUGAUAACCAGCCAACUAAGUGGAAAGACUUGUUGAAUACACAUUUCUAAUUGGGAAGCCUCCAACAUUACUAAGAGGGAAGCUUUCAACAUUUUGUACCUACAAAUGAAGUUAAAUUCUAUAAAAAUAAGACUCAAGAAACUAAACAAAACUACUUUGUACAAAAAAAAUAGUACAUGUUUGCCUAAAAUAGCACCAACUAGGAAGCCUCUAACAUUACCCAGAGGGAAACCUUCAACAUUUGGUACCUAAAAAAAAAGUUAAAUUAUAUCAAAAUUAGACAAAAAAAAAAAUUAAACGAAACUACUUAGUACAAUAAAUAAAUAAAUAAACAACACCUGUUGACCUAAAAUAGCAAUAGGCCAGGUGGCCUGUAAAGUUGAUUAACAUUAAAUGUAAUCAAGUUGCUAGGAAUGUUGUGGUCAUGUGAAACAUGAAUUAUAGAGUCUUGUUAAUCAAUAUAUCCAAUUUGAGAAGCCUAUACAAAAAAUACCAAAUGACACUUCAAAUUAUUGCAUGAACUUGUAAAAAUAAAAUUAAAAAAAAGAACUGAAAAUUUACCUUUUCCAAAUUUAUAUCAUCCACUUUAUUUUCAAUGGCCUUUGUCCCUUUCUCUUUCCCAUUCCUCCCUUUAUCCUCCUUUUUGUCCUUCACCUUCUUAAUAAUUUUCUCCAUAUUACCUUGCAACCUUUUGAAACGGGGUCGACCUUUACCACGAACCGCCAAAGGACUGCAAAUAUUGGAACUUUCUUUUGAUAUAUUAUUAUUAUUAUCACCACUUGGCAAUGGUGUGCUGACUUCACUACCCACUUCCAAAGGAGUACUAUUUUUACACGUGUAAUCUUUUUCUUCAAUUCAUUAGUCAACCACUUAAUCCAACGAAGAACCAAUUUUGUCUUAUCUUUAUUAUUCGUCACCAAAUCUGUCACUUCAUAAAAGGUAUUUCACAUUCUAUCAAAACGUUCAUUUUCAGGGUUUAACAUCCAAUCAGAGUAUAUAAUUUUAACCUUUGUAUGACAUCUCUUCACAUCUUUCCUCCACCUUCUAAGAAUGAAUUUCUCUGGUAUGGUAUGAACUUCUUUUUGAAGCAAGACAGUUAUGGCGUGACAACAUAAGAUUCCCCUAAACUCAAAUAAUUGACAGUUACACCUAAUGUCACAAUCAUCCCCUUUAAAACAAACCUUAAAAGUGGCUUUACGAUAUGUCCCCCCAUCUUAUCUUGCGAAAUAUUUCAUACACUCGAGUCCCACACUCCUUUUUCUCUGAAGAAAUACUACAAUAAAACUUGUUUUUUAUCUCACCUUGAAACUCUUUGAAUUUUGAAGUGGUGUAAGAUUUUUAAAAUUGUUCCUCUAACGGAUAAGAAGUGAUGCAUGGAAUCUUAAAGUCAAAAGAAUCGAAGUCCGCUUUAGCCUCUUUUUGCACCUGGCUUCUUAGGGCAUUCUCAUAUUGCUCAACAAAUUAUUUUAAGCUUGUCUUAGAAUUGACAUAACCAUCGAACAAUGCAUUCAUGCUUUCACUUCUUUGAGUCAAAAACAUUCCCGCCAGAAAGUAUAUCUUAAAAAUGUUGGGACCCAAUGACUCCUUUCAUUGUAUAAACCAGUCAACCAAUCAUUUGUUUCAAGUUUAAACUUUUCAAUGAAUCUGCUCCAAUUUUCUUCAAAUCCUUCACAAGUCAAAGAAUCAUAAACCACUUUUUGCAUUGUAUACUUAAUUGAUUCAUAUUCAUUACAACCUCGUAAUUUUUUAGGUAACUUCUUCAUCAUAUGCCAUAAGCACCACCGAUGAAGUGUGUUAGGAAAGACAUUUUCAAUAGCCCUUUUCAUUGCUUUGUCCUGAUCAUUGAUUAUUGUGGUAGGAGCGCGACCAUUCUUACAUGCAAGCCAAGAUUUAAAAAGCCAAGUAAACGACUCAACAUCUUCACUUAAAAUCAAUCCACAUCCUAAAAGUGUACACUGACCAUGAUGAUUCACUCAACAAAUGGAGCAAAGGGCAUGUCAUACUUAUUAGUCAAGUAUGUUAUGUCAAAUGUAAUGGCAUUUCCGAAUUACACAUACGCUUCCCUACUCCUAGCGUCUGCCCAAAAUACAUUCCUUAGCCUCCCUUCCUUAUCUAAAUCCAUCAAUAAAAGAAAAACAUUAUUAUCUUGCAUUUUAAGAAAGUAGUUCUGAACUUCCAUAGCAUCCCCAUCACCCAGCCUUAAUCAUCUCAUUUUCUCAAUAUGAUUAUAACAGUCUUUCUCUAAAAAUGGAACAUUCUCAUGACCACCAGCUUCAACCAAAAAUGAACUAAAGUUUUUAUUUGGUCUAAUACCCGCCCUAUCAUUAACUUCAAGUCUCCUUUUAACGUACAUCCUUAUAACCCAAUUCUUCUUAUAAAAUCUAGAUUUUUUUGGGCUCAAAGCAUGAUUGUGAUCAAGGGUUAUUUGUGAGGCUAGCCACUUACCAUCAAGGUAUAAUACAAUCCUAAUCUUAGCUUUACAUCCUGUUUUACUAAUUGGAGGUUCGAGAGCAUGAAAGAACCACACAAUUAACCUCCCCAUCAUCACCCUUUUUCGAAUAUUUUUCUUCAUUAGGAACCCUUGUUUGUUAGCAUGUAUAAUGUAGUAUUCUACACAAGCAUCAAUACUGUAAAAUUUCAUUGCUAUUUCCGGAUCUUUUAUCUCAUUUAUAGCUACUGCACUCUUGACACACUCAUCAAAUUCUAAAUUAUCAUUCAUAUCAUUCUCCUCAAUGUGUUUAUUCAUCUUUGUACUUAAAGAUAUAUUCAAUGAUUCUGUUUCCAUUUGUGCCCAAAAAAACCUAUACAGAAAAAAAACAAAAACAAAACACUUAAUCCAAAAUUAUAACCUUUUCUUUGUAAUGUUUUUUUGAACCAUGUAUGGAAAGGGUAAGAUGAUAUAAAUUAAAAGAGAGAAUGUUUUUGUUUGAACCAUGUUUUUUGAUAUCAAUUAAUCCAUUUGUGCACAAAAUUAAACCUAGAUCCAAAUCUCAAGAAAGAAAAAGUGUUACCUGAGAUGGAGAUCGUCGAACUUGGAAGGGAGGACGGAAUGCCCGAUAUCGCUAGGAUGGAGAGAGAGGAAUAAAUUUUGUAGUAGAUGUUUGGGAUGGGCGGACGAUUAUAUUUUGCAAGAAUAUUUUAGCAGGAUGAAGCCUCUGGUGGUGUCUUUCAUACUUAUUUCUUUUGAUAGUUUUGGAAGAUGACUUUUUCUUCUCUUUGGGGGACCCACGGUCUAAUUUGGUUGUCCAAUAUUUCUGUCCGCUUAGACUUAUUGUUCAGGGUAAAGACAUUAACCGUGCAUGUGGAAGUCAAAGGGAAUGGUUAUGGGCCAUAAGCCAAUGUCCACAUUUUAGCGUAAAGACAUUGACCCGGCCAGUCCAAAAAAUCAGACAUAACGUCCAUGCAUGGACCCUAAGUUAUUGUAACACGUAAGGAGUAUUUUGUCAUUAUAAAAAUUUGAACUUCCACCCUCUUGGUACAUAACAAGUGGGAUAACUAGGGGAACUCAUCGGUAAAAAAACUAAAUCGGUAUCGAUCCGAAAGUAUCAAAAAAAAUAAGAAUCGGUACCAAGGUUUGUUGGUCCAUUUGAGAUUCUUGACCGAAUAGGAAAUGUGGCCUAUAGACUUGCAUUACCUCCAAGCAUGUCUCGUGUUCAUAAUGUUUUUCAUAUAUCUAUGCUUUGUAAAUAUGUGAAAGACUCGAACCACAUUAUUGCGUUAGAAACAGACGAGAUAGCCGAAGAUUUAACGUACGAGGAGGUACCUGUUAAGAUCUUGGAUAGGAAAGAGCAUGUUCUACGCACCAAGGUUAUACCACAAGUUAAGGUUUUGUGGAGGAACCAUGCUAUUGAGGAAAUGACCUGGGAGUUGGAAUCAGAAAUAAAAGCGAGGUACCCUCACCUUUUCGAAACACCAGGUACGUACGUCAAUUUCGAGGAUGGAAUUUUAUAAGGAGGGGAGGUUGUAAGACCCCAACUUAUUAUAAAUAAAAUUGAAUUUUCUCUAUUCAUUAUUCUAAAUUAAUAAGGUGUUAAUUUGAUAUAAUACUUUGGUUAUGGGUGAAAUGUGCAAAUUUUACAAAAUAAGCAAGUGGUUAUAAAAUAUUCCCUUUGUCGGGAAAUAUUCAUUUGGUCGUGGAAUAUUCUUUUUGUCGGGAAUAUCCGUAUGACGGCGCAAUCAAUUAUGGGCCCCAUAACGGAAUAACUGUCGGAUGAAGAAAAUGACAAAGUUUGAGUUUUAUAGAUAACAACGUAAUUGUUACCGUUAACACUAUUGGAAUACCUGGUGGUUAAAAUACAGUAAUACGCGUGGUUGUACAAUAGCACACGAUAUUGCACAGUAUUAUUGAAUUAUUGAUUCGUACAUAAGAAGGCACUACUCAAUAAUUGUUACAGUAGUUACUGUUCAAUAUUUUAUUUUAUUGAUUCAAUAAUUGUUGCGUUGAUAUUUUAUAUUAUUGUUAUUUCAAUAAUUGUCACUGCAUGGUAUUUUCCAUUAUUAGAUUAAUAAUUCAUAUUAUUUGAAUAAUAUUAUUAUAUAGCAUUAUUGGCAAUGUCUAGAAAGUUCUGUCAAGGAGAGGUUUGGUCACCUAAUUGCGCGCCAGUAAGGAGAAAUCCUUAUCGAAAAGCCCCCUCUUUCCUAGGAACGGCCUGGUUGUCAUAAUUGUGAUUCUGUAAUAUUAUUUGUGAAUAAUUAAUUAUUGAUUUAUAUGAUAAGAAAAUAUUUAUUUGAUGCGGAUAUAAAUGAUGGAUUUAUUUAUUUUAUGUGGUUAUAAUUGAAGGAAUUAAUGUUGAGGUNNNNNNNNNNNNNNNNNNNNNNNNNNNNNNNNNNNNNNNNNNNNNNNNNNNNNNNNNNNNNNNNNNNNNNNNNNNNNNNNNNNNNNNNNNNNNNNNNNNNNNNNNNNNNNNNNNNNNNNNNNNNNNNNNNNNNNNNNNNNNNNNNNNNNNNNNNNNNNNNNNNNNNNNNNNNNNNNNNNNNNNNNNNNNNNNNNNNNNNNNNNNNNNNNNNNNNNNNNNNNNNNNNNNNNNNNNNNNNNNNNNNNNNNNNNNNNNNNNNNNNNNNNNNNNNNNNNNNNNNNNNNNNNNNNNNNNNNNNNNNNNNNNNNNNNNNNNNNNNNNNNNNNNNNNNNNNNNNNNNNNNNNNNNNNNNNNNNNNNNNNNNNNNNNNNNNNNNNNNNNNNNNNNNNNNNNNNNNNNNNNNNNNNNNNNNNNNNNNNNNNNNNNNNNNNNNNNNNNNNNNNNNNNNNNNNNNNNNNNNNNAUUCGGAAAUUAGGUUUAUAAAUGAUUUUGGUGGAAAAUUCUAGAAUUGAGUGGGCCCCACUUGUGGUUGGUGAAGAAAUGUGCUGAAUUUUAUUUCAAAUGUGGUGGGUGGCAAUAGUAGCAGGUAAAGCCAUCAGGUAGCAGGUCAAGUCAGCUUCAGCGUGCUAACAUUUUCCUUUAAAUAGAGGGCUAAGUUAGAAUUGAAAAUCACACCAGAAACAUAAGCCUUCUCUCUUUCUCUCACUAUAUUAUCGAGCGUAUUUUGUGAGUAUUUAGAUACUUUGAGAGUUGCUGUUCAGUACAAGUUUCAUUCAGCAUCACUUUUGACCUUUCAUUCCGAAGUACUGUUUCUUUGUGGUAAGGGAUGUUAUUUUCUUUUUAAAAUGAUAUUAUUUUCUUCAAUAUCAUUAUGCCAAAAUAUUGGUGAACUUUUUAAUCAAAUUUGGAACUUUUUGUGUUGGGGUUACUAUUCACGUAUACGAUACUAUUCACUGAAAAAUGAAAAUUUUCUUUUUUGUCCAAGAUGUCUAUUAUGGUUACUAUCUUUGAUUGUAUCCAUGCUUUUAUCUUUUUUUUUGAAUUCUGCUUCACAAUUGGUUAUUAUGAAGUAUUAUUGAUCUUGGAUAAACUGUUAUACGAAUCUCUAAUAUUUGUCUUUCUGUCUCACUGGAUUCGUUUUCUUUAAAAUAUUUUUCAUCAUCCUCAGUCUUAAAUGAUGAUAUUAUUGAAUAUCUUUGGCACGUAGUGCAAAGAUGAACAGGUGUUGAGAUGAACAUGACCGACUGGUGAUAUAAAUGAAUAUCUUUGGCCUGUAGUGCAAAGAUGAAUGAUUAACUAAUAAAUAUCUUUGGCCUGUAGUGCAAAGAUGAAUAUUUGAUUAAAGAUGUAUAUUGAUUGAUGUUACAGGGAUAAAAUAUUGAUGAUGGGCUUUUAAAUCUUAGAAGAUAGUAGAAUUCAUUCUCUACGUGACUCUUCUAAUAGAUUGCUGUUUCCGUUGCAUUUGUUGAUCUAAAACUUGUUGUCUAUUAUAUUCUAUAAGAUUUUUCCCUGUUGAAGACUAAUGAUAAUUUGUUGUAUAUUAUCUUAGUCAUAAUAUUCUUUACUGGGCUAGUUGAGCUCACCUUUUUCCUUUUUGUUCCAUUUUUCUUCUCAGGAGGUGAGAACAUAGCAGGAUCGAGUCGGGGUAUGGAGUGAUGGUCCUAGAAAGAUGUUUUAGCAGUCCUCACUAUUUCUAUAAAAUUGUGUAUGAAUAAUUGUAAUGAGGACUUAUUUGAGUGUUGAUAUUGUCUAGAAGACAAUAUUUGUAUUUAAACUCACAGUAUGUGUUGUCGUAUUUUACACGAUAAUUGUAUUAUUGAAGUUGUAGUUUGCUUUCUGUACCAUGUAUUUGGCGACUCAGAAUGGGUGUUAUAUACCUAUUUUGGGGGCGUCACAGUUGGUAUCAAAGCUUAGGGAUAUGGUCUCUGGCGGAGAUUGGGGAAUAGAACUAGGAGGGGAGAGAUUAGUAAAUCCUUCACUAGUGUGUCCUAUCUAAGCUUAUUUGUUGGUCGGUCAUAAUAUAGGGAUAUUAUGUGAUAUGUUAAUUUGUUUAAUUAACCCUUGUUUUAUGGAAGUAUUUAAGAAAGGCUGCUGAGAACGUUAAUAAUGGAGUGUAUGAGACUGUGGAACAACCUUUAGUCACAAACUAGGAGAACAUGCAACAGGAAGAUAAUAUUCCUCUUGUAAACAACACUACCAAGUAAACGAUGAAUGAUGGAAUGUUUAGGAGCUUUUUGCAGUUCAUGAAAAAUCAGACGAGGGAGACUCGUGUACAAAAUACGGGUGGAAGUGAUAGCAACGCGCGAUCUGUCACAGCCAAUCAGUUUAAAGAGUUGGGACCACCAGAUUUCUAGGGACAGCCCGAUCCGAUUAAGGCGGAAACGUGGGUCAAGCAAAUUAUCAAGAUAUUUGAUGUCUUGGGAUGCACGGAGGAAUAAAAGGUUUCAUUCGCCACCUUUAUGUUCCGUGGAGAGGCAGAUUACUGGUGUGAAUCUGUGAAGCGUACCCAGCCAGCCGCACUCAACAUGUCUUGGGAAAGAUUUCAGAAACUGUUCAAUGACAAGUAAUUUCCUGAAAGUAUUCGUCAUAUGAAGGAGGUAGAGUUUAUUAGACUAGAAUAGAACAACAUGACGGUGUCUCAGUACGAGGCGAAGUUCGCGGAGUUAUCCAGGUUUGCACCUCAUUUGGUAGAGAAUGAGGAACGUAUGACGCGAAUGUUUUUGAGAGGUCUAAAACUAGAGAUUCGUAAAUUCCUUAUCUCUCAUAAAUUUUCUCUAUAUACAGAUGUUGUCAACAGGGCUCAAUUAUUAGAGCGAGAUAAUUAGUAUACUCAACCGAGGGACCACAACCAGGGUCAUACCGGUGACAACAAUCAUCAGAGCGAUGAUAACCAUCGAGGAGGGAAAAAUACGGACAAAGGCAGUAACCACUCGGGUGGUAAUCAUGGCCAUGAUAAUAGGAGAGGUGAUUCAAGUGGAAAUUUCAGAAAGAGGAGAUUCAACAAUGACGGGAAGACAUCAGCAGCAACACCAACACCAACAACAAAUUCUAGGGGAUGAGAACGACCGCCAGUUAGAUGUUACAAAUGCGGGAAAGAGGGACAUAUCAGCCCAAACUGCCCACAACAAUCCAAGGUAUGUUAUAACUGUGGAAAGGAAGGUCACAUAGCUCAGGAUUAUUCUAUAGUGAAACCAAGUUCAGCGGGGAUGGUGACUCCAAGGGCUGUCCCGAAUAAGUCGAAAUCAGCGGUUCCUGGAAGAGCGUUUGUCAUGACUGGCCAAAACGUGAGGAACCCGAACGAGGUGAUCACGGGUAAGCUAAUAUUGAAUUCUUGCGAAGUUUAUACCUUACUAGAUACCGGUUCUACCCAUUCUUUUAUCUCUCCUACUUGUGCUCAACGUUUAAACUUGACUCCGGAGAAAUUGGAUUUUAACUUAUCUGUUAAAACUCCGUUGGGUGAAACCUUCGUUACAUCUAUAAUUUAUAAAUCUUGCUUGAUCUAAGUUGGCACUAUCACAUUACCUAUUGAUCUUAUCUCUUUAAAGAUACUUGCUUUUGAUGUGAUUUUAGGAAUUGAUUGGUUAACCACUCAUCAUGCCAAAAUUGAUUAUUUUCGUAAGGUUGUUAGUUUUCAGAUUCCUAACCAACCUGUUAUGCGAAUUUAAGCAACUAAACCACUAAAAUCAGUCACUGUCAUAUCAAGCCACAAAGCUAUUCGUUUAUUAAAAAAUGGAUGUCAAGCUUUCUUAGCCCAUAUUAUGGAUUUGAAUAAAGAUAAGUCAGAUUUGAAUAAUAUUUCUGUUGUUAGAGAAUUUCCUGAUGUAUUUCCUGAAGAACUUCCCGGUCUACCCCCAGAACGUGAUGUUGAAUUCUUUAUUAACCUUGAACCGGCUACAAAACCCAUUUCUAAAACCCCAUAUCGAAUGGCUCCUAUUAAACUUCAGGAGUUAAAAGUCCAACUACAGGAGUUAUUAGACAUCGGUUUCAUUCGUCCUAGUACAUCUCCUUGGGGUGCUCCUGUUUUAUUCGUAAAGAAGAAAGACGGGAGUAUGUGACUUUGUAUUGACUACCGAGAAUUAAACCAUGUCACCAUCAAGAAUAGGUAUCCGCUACCUCGCAUUGAUGACCUGUUUGACCAGUUACAAGGAACACAAUUCUUUUCAAAGAUCGACCUUCGUUCUAGAUACCAUCAGCUGAAGAUUAAAACUGAGGAUAUUCCGAAGACUGCCUUCAGAACUCGGUACGAGCAUUAUGAAUUCUUAGUCAUGUCUUUUGGAUUGACUAAUGCUCCUGCUACUUUCAUGGAUAUGAUGAACCAUGUAUUCAAGGAAUAUUUGGAUCAGUUCGUUGUUGUAUUUAUUGAUGACAUCCUCAUCUAUUCCAAAAGCCGUGAAGAUCAUGAGCACCAUUUGAAGUUGAUACUUGAAAGGCUUUGUGAAAACAAGCUUUGUGCCAAGCUGAAGAAAUGUGAGUUCUGGCUUGAGGAAGUAACAUUCCUUGGGCACGUGGUGUCAAAAUAUGGAGUAUCUGUUGACCCGAUGAAGAUUGAAGCAAUACAAAGUUGGGAGCAACCGAAGUCAGUGACCGAAGUACGCAGCUUCCUGGGCUUAGCUGGUUAUUAUCGGAGAUUCGUGGAAAAAUUUUCUUGAAUUUCUACUCCGUUAACUCAGUUAAAUUGGAAAGAUACAAAAUUCGUAUGGAGCGAGGAAUGCGAGAAGAGUUUCCAAGAGCUCAAGAGGAGACUCAUUUUGGCACCUGUUCUGUCAAUACCAUCUGGUUCGGAUGGAUUUGUUAUCUACAGCGAUGCUUCAGGCAAAGGGUUAGGAUGUGUUCUCAUGCAACAUGGGAAAGUCAUAGCCUAUGCCUCGCGAUAACUCAAAGAAUAUGAGAGGAAUUAUCCUACUCAUGAUCUAGAGUUGGCAGCAGUCAUUUUUGCGUUGAAAAUCUGGAGACACUACCUGUAUGGGGAGAAAAUGGAGAUCUAUAUGGAUCAUAAAAGCCUCAAAUACUUCUUCACCCAAAAAGAACCAUGCAGCAGCGACGUUGGCUUGAGCUGUUGAAAGAUUACGAUCACACUAUUCAAUACCAUCUUGGAAAAGCGAACGUAGUAGCUGACGCAUUGAGUAGAAGAUCAUAUGCGAGUACGAGUGCGAUAUUUUCAACGCAAAGUCCCAUUUUAUAUGAUUUUCAAAGGAUGGAGAUAGAAUUAAAGACUCCAGGGACCCACGUGAUGAUGGCAAAUAUACGAGUAGAACCGACUUUAAUCGAUAAAGUUAAAGCUGCUCAAGUUACGGACCUGGGGCUGAUGCGUAUGAAGAAGAAAGUGCAAGAAGGUGCUAUUCCAGAAGCAAGAAUCGAUGAAGAAGGAAUACUUUGAUUCAACUCUAGACUUUGCGUUCCUAACAAUUUUGACUUGAAGCAUAUAAUCAUGAUGGAGGCACACAACACCCCGUUUGCAAUACAUUUUGGUGGAACAAUAUGAAGAGAGAGAUCGCGGAGUUUAUCUCGAGGUGUUUAACUUGUCAACGUGUAAAGGCAGAGCAUCAAGUGCCAAAAGGUCCAUUGCAACCACUUGAGAUUCCGAAAUGGAAGUGGGAACACCUUACCAUGGAUUUUGUUACGGGUCUUCCCAAUGUUUCUCAAGGUAUAGAUGCGAUUUGGGUUAUUGUUAAUAGAUUAACCAAGUCUGCUCAUUUCUUGCCUAUAUGUGAAACUUAUUCCCUUGAACGUCUUGCUCGUAUGUACUUGAAUAAGAUUGUGAGAUUGCAUGGCAUGCCAGUAUCCAUAGUUUCGAAUUGUGACCCAAGAUUUACUUCACGAUUUUGGGUUAGCUUGCAGAAAGCUAUGGGCACGGAUUUAUGAUUCAGUUCGGCAUACCAUCCUCAAACGGACGGACAAUCAUAGAGGACUAUUCAAACUCUUGAAGAUCUAUUAAGACUAUGUGUCCUAGACUUCAAAGGGAGUUGGGAUAAGUAUUUACCAUUAGUGAAAUUCUCCUACAAUAACAGUUAUCAAGCAAGUAUAAGCAUGGCUCCAUUUGAGGCGUUGUAUGGACGAAAGUGUCGUUCUCCAGUAUGCUGGGAUGAGGUGGGUGAAGCAACUUUGUUGGGACUAGAGUUGGUACGCAUGAAUACAGAAAAGAUCCAAAUGAUUCGACAACGUAUACAAAUGACACAGGAUCGACAAAAGAGUUAUGCGGAUCUUCAUUGAAAUGACGUGGAAUUUAGUAUUGGGGAUCAUGUAUUGUUACGUGUUGCUCCAUGGAAGGGAGUUGCAAGAUUUGGGAAGAGAGGAAAGCUCAAUCCAAGGUUUGUUGGUCCAUUUGAAAUUCUUGACCGAAUAGGAAAUGUGGCCUAUAGACUCGCAUUACCUCCAAGCAUGUCUGGUGUUCAUAAUGUUUUUCAUAUAUCUAUGCUUCAUAAAUAUGUGAAAGACCUGAACCACACUAUUGCGUUAGAACCAGACGAGAUAGCCGAAGAUUUAACGUACGAGGAGGUACCUGUUAAGAUCUUGGAUAGAAAAGAGCAUGUUCUACGCACCAAGGUUAUACCACAAGUUAAGGUUUUGUGGAUGAACCAUGCUAUUGAGGAAAUGACCUGGGAGUUGGAAUCAGAAAUGAAAGCGAGGUACCCUCACCUUUUUGAAACACCAGGUACGUACGUCAAUUUCGAGGAUGAAAUUUUAUAAGGAGGGGAGGUUGUAAGACCCCAACUUAUUAUAAAUAAAAUUGAAUUUUCUCUAUUCAUUAUUCUAAAUUAAUAAGGUGUUAAUUUGAUAUAAUACUUUGGUUAUGGGUAAAAUGUGCAAAUUUUACAAAAUAAGCAAGUGGUUAUAAAAUAUUCCUUUUGUCGGGGAAUAUUCGUUUGGUCGUGGAAUAUUCUUUUUGUCAGGAAUAUCCGUAUGACGGCGCAAUCAAUUAUGGGCCCCAUAACGGAAUAACUGUCGGAUGAAGAAAACGACAAAAUUUGAGUUUUAUAGAUAAUAACAUAAUUGUUACCGUUAACACUAUUGGAAUACCUGGUGGUUAAAAUACAGUAAUACGUGUGGUUGCACAAUAGCACACGGUAUUGCACAAUAUUAUUGAAUUAUUGAUUCGUACGUAAGAAGGCACUACUCAAUAAUUGUUACAAUAGUUACUGUUCAAUAUUUUAUUUUAUUGAUUCAAUAAUUGUUGCGUUGAUAUUUUAUAUUAUUGUUAUUUCAAUAAUUGUCACUGCACAAUAUUUCCCAUUAUUAGAUCAAUAAUUCAUAUUAUUUGAAUAAUAUUAUUAGAUAGCAUUAUUGGUAAUGUCUAGAAAGUUCCGUCAAGGAGAGGUUUGGUCACCUAAUUGCGCGCCAGUAAGAAGAAAUCCUUAUCGAAAAGCCCCCUCUUUCCUGGGAACGACCUAGUUAUCAUAAUUGUGAUUCUGUAAUAUUAUUUGUGAAUAAUUAAUUAUUGAUUUAUAUGAUAAGAAAAUAUUUAUUUGAUGCGGAUAUAAAUGAUGGAUUUAUUUAUGUGGUUAUAAUUGAAGGAAUUAAUUUUGAGGUGUUUUAUCAGUAUUUUUAUCGGAAUGGAGGUAUUAAAAAUCAAAUCAGUAUUUUUACGAUAUAUUGUGUGAGUUAUAAUUUUUAAUCUGACCAUUGGAUCGUUGUGAUUUUUGGAUAUGUUAUACAUAUAUAAGUUGAGUACAUGUCCACAAAUUUUGAACCGUUAAAAAUGAACAAAUGACUUGUUAUGAAUUUUAAGAGGUGACUGAUACGAAAAUUAGGUUUAUAAAUGAUUUUGGUGGAAAAUUCUAGAAUUUAGUGGGCCCCACUUGUGGUUUGUGAAGAAAUGUGCUGAAUUUUAUUUCAAAUGUGGUGGGUGGCAAUAGUAGCAGGUAAAGCCAUCGGGUAGUAGGUCAAGUCUGCUUUGGCGUGCUAACAUUUUCCUAUAAAUAGAGGGCUAAGUUAGAAUUGAAAAUCACACCAGAAACAUAAGCUUUCUCUCUUUCUCUCUCUAUAUUAUCGAGCGUAUUUUGUGAGUAUUUAGAUACUUUGAGAGUUGCUGUUCAGUACAAGUUUCAUUCAGCAUCACUUCCGACCUUUCAUUCCGAAGUACUGUUUCUUUGAGGUAAGAGAUGUUAUUUUCUUCUUAAAAUGAUAUUAUUUUCUUCAAUAUCAUUAUGCCGAAAUAUUGGUGAACUUUUUAAUCAAAUUUGAAACUUUUUGUGUUGGGGUUAUUAUUCACAUAUACGACACUAUUCACGAAUACGGCACUAUUCAUCGAAAAAUGAAAAUUUUCCUUUUUGUCCAAGAUGUCUAUUAUGGUUACUAUCUUUGACUGUAUCCAUGAUUUGAUCUUUAUUUUUGAAUUCUGCUUCACAAUUGGUUAUUAUGAAGUAUUAUUGAUCUUGGAUAAACUGUUAUAUGAAUCUCUAAUAUUUGUCUUUCUGUCUCACUGGAUUCAUUUUCUUUAAAAUAUUUUUCAUCAUCCUCAGUCUUAAAUGAUGAUAUUAUUGAAUAUCUUUGGCCCGUAGUGCAAAUAUGAACAGGUGUUGAGAUGAACAUGACCGACUAGUGAUAUAAAUGAAUAUCUUUGGCCUAUAGUGCAAAGAUGAAUGAUUAACUGAUGAAUAUAUUUGGCCUGUAGUGCAAAGAUGAAUAUUUGAUUAAAGAUGUAUAUUGAUUGAUGUUACAGGGAUAAAAUAUUGAUGAUGGACUUUUAAAUCUUAGAAGAUAGUAGAAUUCAUUCUCUACUGACUCUUCUAAUGGAUUGAUGUUUUCGCUGCAUUUGUUGAUCUAAAACUUGUUAUCUAUUAUAUUCUAUCAGAUUUUUCCCUGUUGAAGACUAAUGAUAAUUUGUUGUAUAUUAUCUUAGUCAUAAUAUUCUUUACUGGGCUAGUUGAGCUCACUCUUUUCCUUUUUGUUCCAUUUUUCUUCUCAGGAGGUGAGAACAUAACAGGAUUGAGUCGGGGUAUGGAGUGAUGGUCCUAGAAAGAUGUUUUAGCAGUCCUCACUAUUUCUGUAAAAUAGUGUAUGAAUAAUUGUAAUGAGGACUUAUUUUAGUGUUGAUAUUGUCUAGAAGACAAUAUUUGUAUUUAAACUCAGUAUGUGUUGUCGUAUUUUGCACGACAAUUGUAUUAUUGAAGUUGUAGUUUGCUUUCUGUACCAUGUAUUUGGCGACUCAAAAUGGGUGUUGUAUACCUAUUUUGGGGGCAUCACAUUUUCUGUAUUUAGGUUUUUACCAAAUUCAAAAAAUUCCUUAGCGCUAUCGGUAUCGAAAAGUGUUAAAUUAAAAUACAAAAAAAUCGGUACCAAAAAAACCGGUAUCGGUAUCAAUCGGUUCAAUAAAAAAUUGAAAAAACCGAAUAUUUUGAGCAUCUCUUGGGAUAACCAUUAGGCCAAGGCCUUAGGUAUUGUAGUGGGAGUAUAAUCUCCUUAAUACUGGCACUUGCAUGCAAUUUUCUCCUAUCCUCGACUUUUGAGGUCUUAAUUGACUUGACAAUUGAGAAAUUAAUGUUAUAUUUGUUUGCAAGGAUUGUACUUGAGAUUAAACUAUUAAUCCCAAGUCUCUUGUUUGUUUUUAAAAAUAAGCUUGAGACUAUUAGUCUCAGAACAAUAAAAUAACUUAAAAGGGGGACUAUUUAAUACCAUGUCCUGUUGAUUUAUAUUAUUUAUGUUUUUAAUGAUGACAAUAUAAUUGAGUUUGUAUUUAGUAAUGGAUUUUAUUUUAAUUGCUUGGGUUGUUUAAAUUGUUAAUUAAUUUAAUUUUGUGUAAGCAUCUUAAGGGAUUCUGUUCAUAAAUAAAAUUCUUGUUUGGCCCAAGUUGGUUAAAUGUGUUAUUAGAUUUCAAGGUAUUAAUUACUGUUGAGGAUUUCUUUAAAUAUAGAUUGUAAGACCCCGAAUUUUAUGAAAUCAAAGUAUCCAAUUUUCUUAUAAUUAUUAUUCUAUUUAAUAAAUGGUUUAAUUGAUAAAAGGUUAAAGUUAAGGGUGAUAUUUGAAAAUUUUGCAAAGAAAGCAAGUUGAUAUAAAAUAUUCGUUGUGUUCGGGAAUAUUCGUUUGGUCGGAGAAUAUUCUUUUUUGUCAGGGAAUAUCCGUACGAUGACACCAUCAUUGGUGGACCCCAUAACAGAAUAACUGUCGGAGUAUUUUAUAAAAAUAACAACGAAAGUUUUACAAUUAACUGUUAAAAUACCAAGUGGUAAAAAUAUAAUAAUACACGUGGUUGCAUAGUAGCACACGGUAUUGAUUAUUGAUGCUUACGUAAGAAGCCACUCAAUUUACUCAAUAAUUGCUACAGUAAUUGCUGUAUAGUAUCUCACGUUAUUUGAUUCAAUUAUUGUCACAGUAACAUCUACAUAAUAUUUUAUAUUAUUAAAUUAAUAAUUGAGAUGACAAAAUUAUUCAUAUUAUUAUUUACAAUAUUAACGAUGUCUAGAAAAUUCUGUUGAAGAAAGGGGUUUGAUCACCUAAUUGCGCGCUAAUAGGGAAAAAUCCUUAUCGAAAAGCCCUCUCUUUCCUGGGAAUGAUCUGGUUGUUAAAUAUUGUGAGUUAUAAUAUUAAUGAUGAAUAAUUGUUAAUAGAUUAAAAAUGUGUUUAUUAAAGAUAAAUGAUUUGUGGUAAAUAUUUAUUAAAUUUUUAAUAUAAAUAAAGGGAUUUGUUAUGAGGCGUUUGUUGUAAGUUUGACUUAGUAUUCCAUAGGAAGAUUUACUAAUUUUAUGGACCCUCGAUGGUGGUUUAAAUAGAUAACCAAUCUGGACCAUUGAUGGUGGUUUUAAUAGUUAAUCAAUCUGGACCAUUGAUGGUGGUUGUAAUAGUAAAUCAAUCUGGACCAUUGAUGGUGGUUGUAAUAGUAAAUCAAUCUGGACCAUUGAUAGUGGUUUUAAUAGUAAAUCAAUCUGGACCGUCGGUGGUGGUUUAAAAGUAAAUCAAUCUGGACCGUCAGUGGUUGUUUUAAAAGUAAUCAAAUAUGGACCGUUGGUGGUGGUUUUAAAAGUAAAUCAAUCUGGACCGUCGGUUGUGGUUUUAAUAGUAAUCAAUAUGGACCGUCUGUUCUAAUAGUAAAUCAAUCUGGACCGUCGGUUGUGGUUUUAAUAGUAAUCAAUAUGGACCGUCUGUUCUAAUAGUAAAUCAAUCUGGACCGUUCGUGAAUCAGUUACUAUUUAGUCUAUUCUCCUAUAAAUAGAAGGUUAAUUCUUCUUUCAUUCUCGCCAAUUCACUGAGAUUCACAAGAGACACUAUAAAGAGAGAAACUAUAGAGAGGAAGAAGAAGAGUAUUCUGCUACUUCACUAUUGUAGUAUCUAGUCUUCUACUAAGGUAAGAAGUAUUAUUUCUUUCGUAUUCUUAAAGAAUACUAUUUUUCGUAUUCAUCCUUUAAUAUGUCGGAAUAACCUGUCUACGCGGAUUACGUACCUCAUAACAGGUGAAAAUCCAUUUACAGUUUUGUAUGUUAUUUCUUUACAUAUUCUUAAAUCUAAACUUACUAUGGUAAGUAUUGCUUCUAUAAACCCUGAAAUUAGUGAAAUAUGCUUGAGUUUUGCGCUUCAUCCAUUAUCUUUUCAUUAGAAUAUUUAUAUGAACUUUCUUAUUAAAUAUCAAUAUUGUUACUCGGGGUACUAUUCACGGGUUACUAUUCACUCAGUUACUAUUCACUCAAAUAUUAUUCACUCGGGUAUUCGGGGCACUUUUCAUGCUGAAGUAUUAUUCACGUGGUACUAUUCUCAAAGUACUAUUCACGGGGUACUAUUCACGACAAAAAUUAAUUUCUUUUCUGUCCAAAAUUAUUUUUGAUACAUGAAUAUUAUUCUUGAAUUUUACUCCACAAAGCAGUAUCAUGUUGACAAUUUGGAUAUUUUUAAACUCUAGAUAAAUUUAAAAUCUUUAAUAUUUAUCCUUGAUUUCAUUUAAUUAAUGCUUAUAUCAUUGUCAUCAUCCUCAUGCUUAUAUUGUGAUGAAAGUCAUCAUCGGCCAAGGGUGCAAAGAUGAACUGUUGAUUGGUAGGAUUAUGACUAGGGAUCAUUCGGUAUAAUCAUGACCCGUAAUGUUACAAAUGAUGUGGUAAAAGUCCUCAUUGGCCCGUAGUGCAUUGAUGGACAAUUGUUGGUAUGAUUAUGACCAGGGAUUAUUCGGUAUAAUCAUGACCAUUGGUGAAAACAUGAAUAUCCUUGGCUCGUAGUGCAUGGAUAAUUCGUGGUCGUGAUACUAAUGAAUAUCCUUAGCCGUAGUGCAAGGAUGAUUCGAUGAUACAUGUGGAUUAUUUAUUAAGCCGAGUCUCAACAACAAAAUUAAUGAUAAACUUUUUAAAUCAUAGAAGAUAGUAGAUAUCAUGCUCUACUUGACUCUUCUAAUGGAUUGUUUGUUCCGCUGCAGUUGUUGAUCUAAAACUUGUUGUCUAUUAUAUUCUAUCAGUUGUUAUACUGUUGAAGGCUAACGAUAAUUUAUUCUGCAUUAUCUUAGUCAUAAUAUUUCUUACUGGACUAGUUGAGCUCACCCUUUUCUUUCAUUGUUCUCUUUAGGAAAUGAGAAUAUAUAGUUGGGACUAAUCAAGGAAUGGAGUGAUGGUUUGAGAUGGUGGCUAUCGUAGUCCUCACUAUUUUUAUAAAAUAGUGUGAUAAUAAUUGUAAUGAGGACUCCAUUGAGUGUGGAUAUUGUCUAGAAGACAUUAUUCUUGUUUAAACUCUUAGCUAUGUUUUGUCGUAUUUUACACGACAGUUGUAUAAUUAAGUUGUAGUUGUAUUCUGUAUCAUGUAUCUGGCGACCCAAGAUGGGUGAUGUAUACCUAUUUUGGGGACUUCACAUAUAUUGCUUAGAUAUGCUAUUUAAGUAAGUGUCUUUUUAAAUGAAACUGUAUUGACUAAGCAAAAUAUGUUGGACUCCUCUCUUUUAUUUUAGCUAUCUUAGUUUAACUGGGAUUUCACAUCUAUUUGACUGAUGCAUAUUAUAUCCGCUGGCCUCUAUUUAAUUACUGAAAUCCUAUCUUUAUUCCAACUGUGAUUUGAGAUAUUUAUUUUAACUUCUUAUUUGUAUCCGUUGGUGCUAAUCAGAAGCUAAUAUAUCAAUUUAGGAUAUAUUGCUAAUCAAAAUAUAGCCGUUAGGUCCUUCUUGUUAUAUAUACUAUCUUUUCCUACUAAAACAUGAAAACAAGGAAGCAUAUAUCAGUGAAGAGAAACUCAAAGCAAAGAUCAGGCUUACUCGUUAUAUAUUUCCAUCGAGAGCUAUCAUUGUUUAUUACAACAAGUCUGUGUUAUACUAUUAGUCUUUUAUUGGCUAGAAAAUCACAACAGAAUGUAUCCAAAAUACUUUGUAACAAAUUUUGAGUUCAAGUAGUGUUUAGCUUGGUCAUUCUAAUAGUGGAUAGGGUCUGUUCAAAGAGAGCUUUCAAGGUUGUAGAGGUGCAAAGUAGCAGAAGUCCAAAAGGGGCAGAGGUGUCCAUCGCAGUAGAAAGUUUUAUUUGAACAGAGAGUUCUUUUUAUUGUAUUUAAUUGAGUUUUAAAAUUAAUAAAAAGUCUCCAAAUAUAGGUUGGUAUUGGGCGUGGAUUAGGCUACUAGACUAUAUGAUAAGGGUUGUAACACGUAAAAAAUCAUUAUGUCCGCGGUUGGUUAUUUCUUGUGGUUUGAGUAUCACUUUGCAUCUAAAUACAUCAACAUAAAAGUAGUUUGCUGAUAGAGUAAAGUGUAUUAAUCCAGACACUAAUUCACACAUGUUUCAUCUGUCUGCAUUAUAACUAAAAUAUAAUUUGUUCUAGUCCAGACAUUAUCUUUCUUUGUUUUUUCAUGUCUGCAUUAUAAGAAAAGUAGAAUUUAUUCUAAUUAAAACAAACACUAUAAAACACUAGUUCCACCUGUCUAUUUUAGUACUUUAAUAAGAGAUUAAAAAUUAGUCGUUGUUAAACACGUUAUAGUUUAGACACCUAUUCACCCCCCUCUAGGUGUGUACAUACACAAAAUUACAUGUCUAACUAGGUAUUGUAAUCCCUACCAUUUGGGACUAAAAAAUUGUUAACAAAGUAAUCUUUUACUUUGUUUUAAUCUACUCUCUUUUAAGAAUUUCCAAAACGACGUAAUUUUAAUAAAUGAGUUCUAUUUAAGGAGCUAGGAACGCUAGAUAAGGUAAGGUGAGUGCUCUUAAUCCUUUCUCUACCUAUAAAAGAAGGAUCAAGAGCACUCCCCUUAUCUAACACUCCUCCUUAAAUAACACUACUUUAUUAAAACUGCAUCGUUUUGGAGAUUCUUUUAAAAAAUAAGUGGGGCCGCGGGUGGAAUUUUUAUAAAUAAAAGAAAAGCAAGCAGGACCACUCUCUUUUAAGAAUCUCCAAAAUGUCAUAACUUUAAUAAAUGAGUGCUAUUUUAAGGAGGAGUGCUAGAUAAGUGAAGUGUUCUUGAUCCUUCCUCUACCUAUAGAGAAAGGAUCAAGAGCACUCCCCUUAUCUAGCACUCCUCCUUAAAUAGUACUCAUUUAUUAAAACUACAUCAUUUUGGAGAUUCUUUUAAAAAAUAAGUGGGGCCGUGGGUGACAUUUUUGUAAAUAAAAGAAAAACAAGUGAGACCACUCUAUUUUAAGAAUCUUCAAAACGAUGUAGUUUUAAUAAAUGAGUGCUAGAUAAGUGGAGUGCUCUUUUUACUUCUUCUACCUAUAGAGAAAGGAUCAAGAGCACUCCCCUUAUCUAGCACUGUUCCUUAAAUAACAUUUCUUUAUUAAAACUAUGUCGUUUUGGAGAUUACUUUAAAAAACAAGUGGGGCCGCGGGUGGCAUUUUUAUAAAUAAAAGAAAAGCAAGCUGGACCACUCUCUUUUAAGAAUCUCCAAAAUGACAUAGUUUUAAUAAAUAAGUGCUAUUUAAGGAGAAGUGCUAGAUAAGUGGAGUGCUCUUGAUCCUUCCUCUACCUACAGAGAAAGGAUCAAGAGCACUCCCCUUAUCUAGCACUCUUUAAAUAUAAUUCCUUUAUAAAAACUACGUCAUUUUAGAAAUUCUUUUAAAAACAAGUGGCGUCGCGGGUGGUAUUUUUGUAAAUAAAAGAAAAGCAAGCGGGACCACUCUCUUUUAAGAAUUUUCAAAAUGACGUAGUUUUAAUAAAUGAGUGUUAUUUAAGGAGGAGUGCUAGAUAAGUGGAAUGCUCUUGAUCCUUCCUCUCUCUCUCUCUCUAUAUAUAUAUAUAUAUAAUUUUUUAUCUUAUAUAUAAUCGAAUUAAUAUAUAUAAUUGAAUUAAUAUUAUGUAAUAUGAUAUUUCGUUGCAAAUGAAAUCAUAACAAAUUUUGUUGCACAUGAAAAGUAAACGAUAACGUAUGGUGUCGUUGCUAAUUGACAAUAACUUUUGUUGCUCUCUAAAAAUAAUCAUCAUCGAAUAGUAUCGUUGGUAAUUCAUCAUAAUUAUCCAUAAAAAAACCAACGGCAACGCAAAAUUUCGUUGCAAAUUAAUAUAUAACUGAUUUAUUUUGUACAUUUAGUAACAAACAUCGUUGCCAAAAAGUAUACAAUUAGCAACGAAAACCAAUUAAGGCAACAAUUUCUAUAUUGUUCAGUAACGUCAAACUUCGUUGGCAAAUGUGUAUCAAAUGCAAUGAAUUUUAUCUUCGUUGGAAAAUAAAAAGAUUCUUUUCGUUGCCAAUUAGGCAUAUUUUGUAAUGAAAAUUGUUUUUCAGUAACAAUUUCUUAAUAAAUUUGCUACAAAAUAUUUCGUUGCUAAAUGAUUUAUGAUUUUACACGAAAACAAAAUUUCGUUGCGAAAUAUAUUACUUUCUACAACGAAAAAAAAAUUCGUUGCUAGACAAUUAGCAACGCUCAUUGCGCAACGAAAUGUCCAACGACUGAAAAAUCGUUGCAAAUGGCAUUUGGCAACGAAAUUUUGAACAUUUAACAACGAAAACUGUUUGUUGCAAAAUCACCAUUUUUUGUAGUGGUUGAUCAUCUCUUUGGUGCUUCCUAAGCUUUGUCGUUUCAGCUCGAACUCUUCUAAUUAUCAACAACUACUUAUGAGCAUGGCUGAUGUGCUACUAAGCUAUUCAAUUAAGAUAUAUAUAUUUUAUGCUUAGCAGCCUUAAACACUUUUUGGGAUGUAGACUUUUGCUCUAAGUCUUUAACUGGCUGGCUCAUCCGCUCUAAUUUAUAAAAUUAUUAUUGUCUUCUUGAAAGUAAAAUUGAAAUAUUUUCAUUCUUAGAAUUCAUGUAGAUUCAGUUUAAUUUUAGUCAAUAAAUGACUAAUAUAUUAAAUUAACGAAAAAUUAGUAUUACAAAUUCUAAAAUUUAUUGAUUUAUACUUUUAAUCUAAUAUAUAUUAAUUUGGUAUUUAAAAAUAUUUUAAAUUAAUUUUUUAAAAAUUAAUAAAAAUAUUAUAAAUUGAAACGGAAUGAGUAUAAAAAAAGAAAUAAAAUAAUAAAUAAACUCCUAUAAAAAUCAACAACCUUUGGUAUUUAGAUGUUUUCAUCAUUGAAUGUUUGUGAAAUAAUACUGCACCAAUUCACCACAUGUAUGAGUAACACCAAACCAAUAAUAUAGUGUCGCGUCAUUGCCAAGGCAAGCCAAAUUACCCAUUCUUUCUAUCAAUCUAGGGGAAAUUAAAUUAAUUAUAAAAAUUCAUCACAAACUUUGCUCGUAAUAUAUAGAUAUAGAAGAAGGAUCAAGAGCACUUCACUUAUCUAGCACUCCUCUUUAAAUAGCACUCAUUUAUUAAAACUGUUUUGGAGAUUCGUAAAAGAAAGUGAUCCCGCUUGCUUUUUUUUUAUUUACAAAAAUGUCACCCGCGGCCCUACUUGUUUUUUAAAAGAAUAUUCAAAACGACAUAGUUUUAAUAAAGAAAUGCUAUUUAAGGUGGAGUGUUAGAUAAGGGGAAUGCUCUUGAUCAUUUCUCUCUCUCUCUCUCUCUCUCUCUCUAUAUAUAUAUAUAUAUAUAUAUAUAUAUAUAUAUAUAUAUAUAUAUAUAUAUAUAAAUUUCGUUGCACAUGACCAAAUUAAUAUUAUGUAAUAUGAUCUUAUUAUUUGAUUAUGUCCUUAUAAAAUUAUACGACUAAUUCUUGUUUCUUUAUAAAAUUACGAUACUAAUUUCAAUUUCUAAUUUAGAUUGAUAAAUAAUUUAAGUUGACUUAAAGUAGAAAAAGUCAAAAGUGAAACCAAAAAAAGGAGAAUAAACCAAAUUGUAUAUUUAAUUAUAGUAUAAAUAGGUAGAUAGAUAGAUAAAUUACAUAAUUUAAAAAUAAUAACAAUUUAGAAAUGUUAACAAAUUUAGACACAUAACAUGAUUUAUAAUAGCAUCUUCACCCAUGCAAAACAAGGGAUUUUACUAUAAAGUUAUGAUAUUAUAAAAAAAGUUAUAAAUAUAUUAUUAGGUUUAUUAGGUAAAAUAAUUCUAAUAACUAAAUAAUCUAUUAUUAUAUAUACUAAAAUACAGUACAUGAUUAACCUAAUAAAUAUUCAAAUCCUACAAAACUAUCCAGCUAACCUAAUAAAUGAGGAUGAAAACAAAUCCUAAUUCAUUCCCCUAAAUUUUAGAUUUAUAAUCUCCUAAAUCACUACAAAUCUAAACUGUUUUGAUAAUAUCAAAUAUUUUGAUAUUAUCCUUUGUAAUUUAAUUAUUAUUUAAUAAAAUCACUACUUUAUGCUAUUAUUAAUUUUUUGGAUUUAUAAUCUUCUAAACCACUAAGAAUCUAAACAGUUAAUAUCAUAAUGUCAUUCUCUUAAUUUUUUAAAUUUAUAAUCCCUAAAUCACUAAAAAUCUAAACUGUUUUGAUAAUAUCAACUGUUUUGAUAUUAUCCUUUGUAAUUUAAUUAUUAUUUAAUAAAAUCACUACUUUAUCUCAACACUAUCCCCUACAAUAUAUAUUCAUCUAUUUUUCUGGGUAAAAUUUGACCAUCGCACAACAAUCUACCAUGUUCUUAUUAUAUUUUAAUUUAUUAAUUGUACGUACACAUUUAUUAUUAAAAAAUUGAAUAAUCCCGCCGCAACGCGGAGGUUUGUAUCUAGUUUCUUUUUAAAAUUAUAUUCCUUAUACUUGAAUAUAAGUACACUUAUCGAUUCAACCUGAUCAUUAAAUUAUUUUGAUAGAUUUUGUAUAAAGAUAAGGUUGUAUCCCUUAUCCAAAAUAGGUUAGUCAUAUAUAUCUGUAUCCUCUAUAUAUAUAACUAGUCACUUACUACAAUCAAGAACAAUAUCAGAAAAAUUAUUCAAUUACCAAAGCAGACUUAUUUACACCUAUAUUUAAUAACGAGUAAUAAAUUCAAGUUUUAUAAGGCGAUUUAUAUGAAAAUUAUUUUCUUUUUAAACCAUAUUAUUUAGGUUGUAAUAAAAUUUUAUCACAUAAUGGUAACAAAUUAAUAUUAAAUAAUUUUUUUCUAAAAUUAUAUUACUUAUACUUGAAUAUAAGUACACUUAUAUUUAAUAACGAGUAACAAAUUCAAAUUAGAUAAGGAAAUUUAUGUGAAAAUUAUUUUCUUUUUAAACCAUAUUAUCUAAGUUGUAAUAAAUUUUUAUCUCAUAAUGGUAAUAAAUUAAUAUUAAAUAAUAUGAUCUUAUAAUUGUUUCCUUAGAAAUUAUAAUACUAUUUUUUUUUGAUUUGGUUAAACUAAACGAAUGUCUUUUUGAAGACUUGUAAUAUUAUUGUCGUUUUGAAUUAUUAUUUAUAAAUUCUUAAUUGAUAGAGUAAUUAAUUUUUAUUUUUAUUUAAUAAUUGAAUCAUAUGGUCAAUUAGUAUAUUAUAUUUUUAUUUUAAUAACAAUAACAAUUAUGCCAUCUACAUAAUUAUUAUAUCUCAUUUAUACUCGAAACUAUUAUUACUUAUAUUUUAAUAAUAAUAACAAAUUUAAGUUAGGUAUAUGAUUUUUAUGAUAAUUUGUUUUUCUUGUCAAUCUAUUUUAUCUAAAUGGAAAUAUAAUUUUAUUUAAAUUUGUAUUAUUGUUUAUAUAUUUGAAUAAAAGAAAUCAAUUAAUAUUAGACACAAUGAUUUUAUUUUGAUUAUUUCCUUAUAUAACUAUACUACUAAUUCUCGUUUCUUUAUAAAAUUACGAUACAAAUUUUAAUUUUUAAAUAAGCCUAUAUUAUUAUGUAUAUAUAUUUUAAUAAAAAUAACAACUCAAUAUUAUAUAAUAUGAUCUUAUUUUUAUUUUUUUUGUGAUAAAACUAUACAACUAAUUAAUUGCAUAGCACUAGCCUUUAUUCUUUAUUAUUUUUUCUAUAAAAAAAGAAUAUUUUUUAAACCCAUAUUAAAUGAACAAAUUAAAUAAUAUCUAUUAACAAAAUCCUUCUCAAACUAUAUUAUCUAAGUUGUAAUAAAAUUUUAUUUUAUAAUGGUAACAAAUUAAUAUUAGGUAAGAUAAUUUUAUGAUUGUACAUAUAUCCCUUCAAACUUACCAUAACUUCACAAUACAAAAUAUUAGUACAACCCUAAAUUUAUUCAAUCAAUUAAAAAUCAACCAAAUAACUUGAAUUGAGGCAUCAUAUCUUCAAAAUCAUGUCGUGUCAUUCAUCAAGCCAAAAUUUAUCCACCCAUUUUUGCAUGAUUAAUGCUUUCUAACAGUAUAUAUAUAACUCAUGCAUCAUACAUCAAUAGUUGCCUGCACCUCAAAAACAAGAGUCUUAAACCACAAAUAUUAAGUAUCAUCAUGUCAACAACCCUAGUAAGUUGGACGUGGGAAGAGAACAAAGCUUUUGAGAACGGCAUUGUGAUGUAUUUGAGGAAAGAAUUGGAAGACGAAUUCCAGCAGAUUGCGGCGAUGGUUCCGAGCAAAACCAUGGAGCAAGUGAAAUAUCACUACAAGAUUCUUGUAGAGGAUCAACUCACUUAAUUUGGAAAACAACUGCCUUUCAAUUUGAAAAUUUGGCCGAGGUGAACUCAAUUAAUUUGAAAAACAGCUGAGGAAUGUCGAUUAAAAAUUAAAUCCAUCGAUUCCCUUUCGCAAUUCUAUCCUGAAUUCCAAAUCUCAUAUACAAUUGAUCGGUUACUCUUCCGUUUCUCUUCAUCUCUUUUCAGAUUUCCAAUCUUCUUCUUCCACUUUCAGUCGAUUCCUUUUUUUUUUUUGUAUUUUUUUGAUUCUUUUCCGUCCUUACAAUGACAAAAUACUCCUUACGUGUUACAAUACUCCUUUCGAUUUGAAGAGAUCUAAAAUUGGAAAGUUUUUACCAAAGUGAAUUCACAAGAAAAUGUAAUAAUAUGAAAAAUAGUUUAGUUCAGUUUGAGAAGUCUAAGUUAUAGCUCAAAUAGUUUAGUUUGAGAAAUCUUUAAGGAGUAUCUCAUUUUGUAAUGUGCUAUGAUGUUUGCUUGCUAGCUGCUCUGGUAUAUAAGACCAGCUGAAAAGAGAAAUCAAUUUCACGCAUUUAAAGAACUUAUUUUCGUAUAUAAGCGAAGUUUAUUUCCUAUUUGGCUGACCAAAUUCGCUUUAUAUCAUAUUGAGAUUGAGAAGAGGAGCACUGAAUUUGGGCUUAUUAUUAUUAUGCAAAAUAAUGUGAGCUAAAUUUUAAUUGUAUUGAAUAGUAUAAUUUGUUUCUUAUGCUGCAACUGAAAUUUAGGAGUGUAUAAUGUAAAGAGUUGUUGGUCAAAAGAAGAAAUUCGUCACCUACAACGACAUGUUGUGGCUGGAAAAUUAAUAGGGUAACAUAUAUACUUCUACGACAUCAAUUUGCAAUUGCCUUUGAAUUGUGAGUUUCUCUCUAUAAACCCCUUGAUUUCUUAUCUCAAAGUCGUCAUAAGGUAGAGUUUAGAGGAUUUAACCGUUAUCUAACAAGACAUGCAAAUUCACAAAAAAAAUGUUGUAUGGUGAAAGACCAAGUACACAUUCUAGGGAUUUUAUUUGUAAAUUUUUUAUGCUUGUUAAACUAAAUUCAGUACAACUGAAUCAACCAAAUAAGAUUAUUGAACCAAAUCAGAUUAAAAGGGAAAAUGCAAGUCACUAUAAUUGGUCUACCAAAUAAGAUUAUAUAUUCAAACAAAAUCAAAGUAAUGAAACCCUAAUUCAAAGAUAGACCCAAUUCAUAAUUUCAAUCCCAAUUUCAUCCAUUUCAGACUGAAAUCCUAAUUUCAGACCUAAGUCCAAAUUUUAAAAACAAUUUCAGACCCAAUUUCAACAAAUUAACAAUCCCAGAACAAUUUCCAUGCACAUUCCUCCUAUCCGAAAUUUAGACCCAAAUAAAAAAUAACACAAAUAUAGACCAAUAAUUCUAAUUCAUGUAUAAAUCUUGAACUGACAGUGAAUAAUGGUGUUUCAAUUUACUUAAAACUACCUUAAGCCACUAUUUCUGCCGGCGGCAACGCAACUGUAAUGGCAGUGGUCCGACGAGUGUGCCCUUUGACGUCAGCCAGUGAUUAGUGGAAAUGAGAGAGUGAGAUGUAAUGAGAGUGAUAGAUGAGUGGUAAAUUGGUUAGAGUGAUGAGUGGUAAACUGAGAGUGAGAUGACUCGAGAGUGAGAGAGAGUAAUAAGAGAUGGGAUUUAUGGGAUGAGGUAAAUGCUAGAAAUGUGAGGUUCCCAAAUUCGGGUAUCUUCCAACUCGACAUAUGGUGCUACAGUUCACACAUACAUUCAAUUGAAAUUUCUCAAAAGAACGAAUAUGUCUUAUAUAUAUUCCAACUAAUAUUACCAUUCCCCAGGUUCUUUAUAACCAUUACAUGUGUUCUUGUAAUAAUAUCAAAUAAUAACAACAUUCACCUAUACUAUUACAAAGGUAAUCUAUAGGUUCACCUUAGCCUUCCCUUUAUCUUUACCGGAUCCUUCGGUCCGUUCGGUCUUAGCUGCAUUCAUAUGGUUCAAGCAAGAGUGAGCAUAACUAGCUCAGCAAGUAUGACAAUUCCAUUUAAACAAUUUGCUUGAACAUACAAAUUAUAUAUCUUCAAUAACUGAACAAUAGUUAUGAAGUACUAUCGAUAAUUCAAAAUAACACUUCUCGUUUCUUUAAAACAUUUCACAAUGAAUAACAUUCAGUAAAACAUUAAUUCCGGUCCAAGACCUUGAUCAUUUCAUACAUUCUUUAAAACGGACAACCCGACACCAAGUCCGUAAGUCCGGUAUAUCUUACGAGCACGUCUAGGUGAUAAGCCUAUAGUACUUUAUGUUGUACAACACUACUUUCUUUAAAUGUAUGUAUGUUUAAGUUUUGGCAACCUCACGUGCCUAUCAUUUGACGAAAAAAUAUUUUUUUAGCAUACUCAGUCUACUUUUGAAAACCAUACCAAAAUAGUUUGGAAAAUCUUAACAACAGUUUGAUAGAUUAUAAGAAAUCCAAAAACAUCUUAAGUCUAGCCGAAGAAAUUGGCUUUGACUUCAUCAUACAUCAAUUCAUGCGUAAGAUACAUGAAUCACAAAGCUUUUCUAGAAUAAACAUAGACAUGGGUUAGAACACUUGCCUUUAGCGUCUGCUACUGUAAUUAACCUUUCCCUUUAAGUCUUUAAGGUCUCUACAAUACAUAAUCACAUAACAUACCACAUUAGGUCAUGAACAAACAUGUAUGGUUCCUAACGUAUCUUACCCUUCUUCUCAAUCUAAUUGUUUAUUAGAUUUGUUUAACAUUGGUUCCGGUUUAUCGCAUUAUAUUGUUCUUACGUUCAAUUAAUCUUUCUUCAACCUUUAGUUGUUAACUUAGGGUUAUAAACAUCCUUUAAUGAUGUUACUUUAAGUUUAUUAAGGAUUUAAUUCAUCUUCAAUCAACUAUCUUUCAUUUUACAUUCAAAAUCUUUCUUUUCUAUGUUCUUCUUAGUCCUAGCGUUGCGGCGCCAGCUUACCUUAUACAACUCGCGCUGCGGCGCAGAUUUCCAGUAGGUGAUGCUCAGUCUUGGCGCUGCGACGCCACUCUUUCCUCUUUGUACUGCGUUGCGGCGCCACUUUUCAGUGCCUAUGGUCCGGACUCGGCGCUGCGGCGCAAAUCCCUUAGUUACCUGCCGCGUUGCGGUGCCACUCUUCAGUGGCUGAUGGUCAAGUCUGGCGCUGCGGCGCCAAGGACAGUGCCUUGGUUGGCGCUGCGGCGCCAACUUUGUGCACCAUAUAGUUUUGACAGACUUUUUACUUAGCAAACUUCCCGGACUCCUAAAUUGUUCAUUUUAAAUUCGAAUUGGCUCGUUCAAAUGCCAUUAGCUCACAAAUCACAUUCUCUAAGUGUUCAUGUAAAAAUUUUACAUUUUUGAAUCUUUUAACUCGGAAUUCACCUAUUAGUUCAUUUUAAUAAAAACGAUAAACGUUCGUGAACGUUCAUAGUUCGUUUCUCUGUUCUAAGUCCGAAUUUAGUCAUUUUUGAGUCCGCAACUCUAAAAUGCAAAUCUAGACUAUUCUCCAUCAAAAACCAACGUUUUCGAGUUCAAUGCUAACUUUUGACUUCCAUUCCGAGAAUUUCACGAUUUCGACUAUUAUCGUCUAAUCUCAUAAAUUCUGCCAUAACUUCAUUAGUUAAUAUUUUUACAUCGUUUCAAAUGGAUUCAUUCCAUCAUACUAACAUCCUAACCAAACAUAUUUCCUUAAAUUAUACACGACAAUUUCUUACAUGUUCUUCCUUAGUUCAUAACUUAAAUAAGUAUGAAUUACUUGUAAAUGGCUUAUUAAGGUUUAAGUCCAUUGAUUAGCCAUUCUUAUUACUUCUUAGCAUACAUGUUCUAUCAAUCAACACUUCUCUAUCAACCUAUAAUUGAAGAGAUGGAAGAUUAAUAAUCUAGGAUUCUUACCCUUGAUGAUCACUUGGUUCUUCUUCUUUUCUACUUGAAAUAACAAGUCUAGCUUUUCUUACUUUUUCUCUCUACUCAAUAAGUUAUAAGUUGUUGGUGAAAAAUUUAACAAGUAAAUAAUCUAGCAACUCUUCUCUUAUUUAUAGGAUUUCCUAAUUGAGGGCAUUCUAGAAAUUAAGCAAUGUCACCUCCUUAACCACCUCCUUACUAUUCAUCCCUUGGCCAUCACAUAACUUAUCCUUUUCUUGCUCACCAAGAUCAUGCCAUGUGAUCAUGGGGCCCACAUGGGUUGCCCCAUGGGUCAUUCUUAUCUAUUGGAUAGAUCCACGGAUCCGGUCCUUAAUUUGGGCUUUAUUUUUAAUUAACUUUAACUUAUUCUUUUGGCUUUCAUUAUUAAACAUUGGGCCUUAACAUUAAUUCCUAUUGGACUUUAACCAUUCCUCCACAAAUCCUACAAGUCAAAUACACGUGCUUAAUACCUUAUAAUGUACAAUCUAUGUAUUAUUCUCGUAUACUAACUCGUAUACUCAUACAUUAUAUACGACAUACCAUCAUUCAUACAUACUCGUAUAAUACCUCGUAUCAUACUCGUAUUCAUUACCUCUUACAAUACUUACGUAUCAUACGAUCAUCGUUUACUCAUUAACGCUUUACUUUCCCUAACAUUCUCGAAUUUAGUCCGCAGGCGAAAAACUGCGUUUGUCAUAUGUUAAUUAUUAUUACAUAAUCCAUCUUCCCUUGACAUUCUAUCAUUAAGUAUUUCUCAGAAGUUUAAAAAUAAUUCCUGAGCAGAAAUCAGUGAAUAGUAUUUUUCAAAAAAUUUCUCGAAAAACUUUUAUUUUUGUCUUGGAAAUUCAAACACUUUAAUUCUACCACAUAGUCAAAAUACUAUGACAUUCUGAUAUAUCUAGGUUAUAGAAUGACAUUCCUCUUACUAACACAUAAUAAUAAUAUAUAAUAUAAUUUUAUUCAUUAUUUAAUGAAAUAAAAUUAUUCUAUAAUAAAUCCGAAUUUCUCGGUCGUUACAUCCUUCCCCCCCUUAUAAGGAUUCUGUCCCCAGAAUCUUGUCUUACAUUAAACAAAUAACUGAGGGUAAUCCUUCCUCAUCUUUUCUUCAAACUCCCACGUUGCUUCUUUGGCAUCGUGGUUCUUCCAUAACACCUUACUGAAGGUAUAACUUUGUUCUGCAGAACUUACUCUUUUCUAUCGAUGAUUUGAAUUGGCACCUCUUCAUACGUUAAGUCCUUCUCGAUAUGAAUAGGCUUAUACUCUAUUACGUGCUUAUAAUUCAGCUUAUAAAGAUGUAACACAUAUACAUGAAAUACAUUAUGUAUUCGUUCUAAGUCUGGAAAAUGCUAUCAUGUAAGCUACCUCUCCUACCCGUUUUAAUACCUCAAAAGGUCCUAUAAACCUUGGACUUAACUUUCCCUUCUUUCCAAAGCGUAUCUUUCCUUUUUAGGGAGAUACCUUUAGAAAUACAUACGAGCCUACUUCAAACUCUCUAUUUACUUGAUGCGAGUCUGCAUACUUUUUCUGUCUGUCUUGAGCUGCUACGAGACGCAUCCGUAUCAACUUCACUACAUCCGUUGUUUGCUGCACCAAUUCUGGCCCUAGCAUUCGGAGUUCUCCCACUUCAUCCCAACACAAUGGUGUUAUGCACUUCCUUCCGUAUAAAGCUUCGUAAGGCAGCAUGCCUAUGCUUGAAUGAUAAAUAUUUUUAUACGCAAACUCUACUAACGGUAGAUGAUCAUCCCAAUUACCCUUAAAAUCCAUGACGCAAGAUCUCAACAUAUCUUCUAACGUCUAAAUUUUCCACUUGCUCCGUCCAUCGGUUUGUGGAUGAUACGCUGUACUUAACUUCAGUUGUGUUCCCAACUGCUCUUGCAGACUCCUCCAAAAGUUUGAUGUGAAUCGUGGAUCACGAUCUGACACUAUCGAAACUGGUACUCCAUGUCUAGAAAUAAUUUUCUUAACAUAAAGUUUAGCUAACUGGUCUAAGUGAUACUUAACCCAUAUUGGCAAAAAGUGAGCCGACUUCGUCAACCGGUCCACUAUUACCCAAAUCGCAUCAUACCCCUUCUGAGUAAUUGGAAGUCCCACCACAAAGUCCAUCGUGAUAUGCCCCCACUUCCACUCCAGAAUCUCUAAUGAUUGUAACAAGCCACUUGGUCGUUGAUGUUCGGCCUUAACCUUUUGAUAAGUCAAGCACCUACUCACGUACUCUGCUAUCUCUCUCUUCAUGUUCGGCCACCAAAAACUCUAUCGAAGGUCUUGAUAUAUCUUGGUACUACCAGGAUGAAUCGAGUACCUUGAACUAUAAGCUUCUUGUAACACUUGUUCCUUUAAUUCUGUCUCAUUCGGAACCCAAAUUCUUCCUUCCAAUCUUAAUAAUCCCUCAUUAUCAAGAUUGUACUUUAAAUCUUUUUCAUCUACUAACCGCUUCUUCAUCUGGUCACACUCAUUAUUUCUGAGCUGUACCUCCUUGACUCUCUCUACAAUGGUAGAUUGAAUCUCUGUCGUAAAUAGUCUCUAUCCCGAUUCACUCGGUAACUUCACCUCUAUCUCCAUCCUAGCCAUCUCUAUUAUUAACUCAGUUUGAGCCAUUAACAUAGACAACUUAUCCCGACCAUUCCUACUUAAGGCAUCGACCACUACAUUGGCUUUCACCAGAUGAUACAGGAUUUCACAAUCAUAAUCCUUUAUCAACUCCAGCCAUCUCCUUUGUCUCAUAUUCAACUCAUUCUGUGUGAAGAUAUAUUUUAGACUCUUAUAGUUCAUGUAUAUCUCACAUUUCUCUCCGUAAAGAUAAUGUCUCCAUAUCUUUAAGGCAAACACUACCGCGGCCAGUUCCAGAUCAUGUGUAGGGUAAACUUUCUCAUAAUCCUUCAACUGCCAUGAUGCAUAUGCAAUGACCUUGCCAUGCUGCAUGAGCACGCAACCAAGUCCUCUAUGCGAAGCAUCGCUAUAAACUACGAAAUUUCCUGUAUCAUCGGAUAAUGACAAUACAAGUGCUUCACUUAAUCUUUUCUUCAGUUCUUGGAAACUGUCUUCACACUUCUCUGUCCAUACGUAUUUCACCGCCUUUCUUGUCAAGUUAGUCAAUGGAGUAGCUAUCUUAGAAAAAUCCUGGAUGAAUCUUCGAUAGUAUCCUGCUAACCCUAGGAAACUCCGCACCUCAGUCGGUAUUUUCGGUUGUUCCCAAUUCAUCACGGCUUCCACCUUCGCUGGAUCUACUGAAAUCCCCUCAUGGUAAAUAACAUGACCUAAAAAUUAUACCCUUUCCAACCAAAAUUCACACUUAGUGAACUUCGCAUAUAACUUCUCAUUCCUUAGUGUCUCCAACACUAUUCUUAGGUGUUCAGCGUGAUCUUCUGGCGUCUUAGAAUAGACUAUAAUAUCAUCAAUAAACACCAUGACAAACUUGUCCAAAUAUGGUUUGAACACUCUGUUCAUCAUAUCCAUAAAUACAACUGGUGCAUUAGUCAACCCAAAUGACAUCAGUAGAAACUCGUAAUGACCAUAACGAGUCCUGAAUGCCAUCUUUGGUACAUCCUCCUUCCUAACCUUUAACUGAUGAUACCCCGUCCAUAAAUCUAUUUUAGAAAAAUACUUUGCCUCUUUCAACUGAUCAAAAAGAUCAUCGAUCCUGGGCAAUGGUUAUUUAUUCUUUAUUGUUAACUUGUUCAACUCUCGAUAGUCGAUACAAAGUCUUAACGAUCCGUCCUUCCUCUUUACAAACAGUACCGGUGCUCCCCACGGUGAAACACUUGGUUGAAUGUACUUUCUAUCCAACAGUUCUUGUAAUUGAACCAUUAACUCCUUCAUCUCCACCGACGCUAUACGAUACGGUUCCCUGGAAAUUAGUGCCGCUCCUGGCACAAUGUCUAUUACGAAUUCGGUCUCCCUAUCCGGUGGAAGACCUGACAAUUCACUUGGAAAUACAUCCAUAAAUUCUUUAACUAUAGGGAUUUGUUCCAUUGUUGCUCCCACUCUCUAGGUAUCAACAACAUGGAACAAAUAACCUACACAUCCCUUCCUUAUUAGUUUUCUAGUUUGUGUCAUAGUAAGGCAACACGAACGCCCCAACGAUUUAGUACCGUAAAAUACUACAUGAGGUUGUCUCGACGUUCUAAUAUUUAAACAUUUCUUUUGGCAAUCUAUUAUUGAACCAUGGUUAAACAACCAAUCCAUCCCGAGAAUUACAUCAAAUUCUCCCAACUUUAUCGGUAUCAAAUCUACCAAUAAUUUAUAACCUCGUAUAUCUACACAACAACUCAUAUGAAUAUCUUUAACAGAAAUUAUUUCUUCAUUUGCUACCUUAAUAUUCAAAGGUACAUGCAAUCUUUCGGGAAGUAAUCCUGAUCAUCUAGCAAACUCACAUGCUAUAAACAAACAAGUAGCACCCGAAUCAAACAGCACGUAAGCAUUUAUAUCGUUGACUGGGAUAAUACCUGCAACUACAUCCCCGGAUGCAACUGCAUAUUCGACCGUCAUGUUAAAGGUGUGGGCCAUCGGCCUACCCGACUGCACUGGAUCACCAAUAGCUAACUUAAUGCUAGUAGCUCCUUUAUUUCCAUCCAUCCCCUUCUUUGGGUAAUUCUUCACUGUGUGGUCAGUUAAUCCAUAUACGAAGCAUCCACGGUUUUCUUCGGACUUGGAUAGUUAGGCAAAAUAUGCCCCUCCUAUCCACAGUUGUAAUAUACUGCCUUCCCCUUGAGAUAGACUCCUAAGUGAGUCUUUCCACAGUUCUUGCAUGCCUCCAUCCUCCUCUUAGGAUCCCCUUGCUUCACUCUGGUAUUCCCAGAGUUAAAUCCCUUCCUCUUUUGACCGUCGCAACUCCCGCUGGCUCCCUCGAUCUUUACUCCCCCAUCUACCUUACCUUUAUUCUUCUUCUCCUUGUGGUACUGGCUUAAAGCCUCAUUCCCACCCUCGGUGAUUAUUUCCUUCUCUAGUAUGGUCCCAAAAGAAGUACUUUGGAACACAGAUAUUCGGCUAUAGAGCCAGGGUUUCAAGCCAUACUCGAACCUCUUAGCCUUUCUCACCUCCGUGUCCACUUGGUGUGGAGCAAACCUUACAAGUUCCUUGAACUUGGAAGCAUAUUGGGGAAUAGUCAUCUCCCCUUUUUUCAACUCUAGAAACCACAUUUCCAUCCUCCCCUACAUACUUGUGAGAAAGAAGUUCUCGAAGAAAAUCUCAUUGAACCGCACCCACGUAAGGUUCUCUAUACCAUCCCUAGCCUGGUUUGCCUCCCACCAAAAGUUGGCCUCUCCCUUCAUCACGUAGGUAGCAAAAGCAACCUUUUGCCCCUCGUCGACAUUUGCAAUAAUAAAUGCCUUUUCUAUUUCUUUUACCCACGUUUGGGCUUCUAUUGGGUCCAUAGUUCCUUUGAACUCCAGCAGACUGACACUCUUAAAAUCCUUAAAAGUAGUAGCUCGUACUACUGUAGGAUUUACGGGUAUAUUAGCACCAUUUCUAUUAAAAGUGGCCAUUAACAAGUUAACAAACUCUUGCAUCGGGUUAACCGGACCUCCUUCCGAUUGAUUAACAUUAGCAUCUUGAUUUCUUUGUCUUCUUCUUGGCGGCAUCUUUCUAUUAAAGUAAAUAACAUUUCAUUAUUAUUCACUUCUUGUUAGUUAGUUAUUAUUCAUUAUUAAACAAUAACUCAUACUCCUUGCACAAUAUUUUCCAUAAAAUAAAACUUAUAUUGAUUUAUUUCUUGUAGUAUAAUACUACAUCGUUCACAUUACACAUCCUAAGCUGAUUACAUUAUUAUCCCGCAAUUGCUUUCCAAAAAUUAGGAUUUACAAAAGACUACCCUUUGAUAUACAAAAGAAGGUUUUACAUCACUACUAGAUACAUCAUAUUUACAUAUCUAACUCUACUUUAGCUAAUACUAGGUUACAUCUGCCGUAUGGAAUUCUCAAAAUCCGCGUUAUCAAGACCGGCUAUAAUAUCUCCGCUGAUAGUAUGCCGAGUCUACCCUACUUCUAUCGGAUACCCAGCUACUUGCUGCUGAAAAUCCGCAUGAGAACUCCUAUAUAUAUAGGACAUCCUCCCAAUCUUCUGCUUCUUGGUCUUUAGCUCCUGCCUGAGCUCAAAGACCUCGUGUUUUAGCUCAUAGACCUUGUUUACCAAAAGCUUCUCAUCAUGUUCCCCUCCCACAUUGACUCUAUACUCGUCUUAUCUUCCAAAAUAGCAUGAAGCUCCUCCUUCAGCUCCUUUACCUCCUUAUAAUACUGGAUGUUUCUAUCCAAUAUUGUCAUGAACAAUGAUUUCAUUGACUCCCCGGAGUCAUCUCUUCUUCAGGUGAUAUAGUGUUAAAUGACACCACCUCCACCUCCUCUUCAGACAUGCCAUCGAACAAAGACAUAAGGUCUAGGUUUUUCGAGUCUCUAGACUCGACUAUCACCACUUCAGGCUCUUCUGCAAUAGGGUUCGGUAGGAUCUCUACUUGAUUCACCGACUCCUCACUUACUACAUGUAUAUCCCUAUACAUUUUGUUUUCUCCUGACAUCUACAACAAAACAAUUUAGUUUGAUUAGUACACAUCAGUAGAAUAAUAAAAACACAUAUCACAUUUAAUGAAUUUUUAGGGUUAAUUUCAUCUUUUACUUCUUUAACUCUUCUUAAGGUUAUGACUUAAGGUUCUAUUUCCCCCCUUAAGUUUUCUAACCUAUUGCUUUGAUACCAACCUGUGAAGCCCCCAAAUCCGAGUAUCUUCCAACCCGACAUAUGGUGCUACACGGUGCUACAGUUCACACAUACAUUCAAUUGAAAUGCCUCAAAAGAACAGAUAUGUCUUAUAUAUAUUCCAACCAAUAUUACCAUUCCCCAGGUUCUUUAUAACCAUUACAUGUGUUCUUGUCAUAAUAUCAAAUAAUAACAACAUUCACCUAUACUAUUACAAAGGUAAUCUAUAGGUUCACCUUAGCCUUCCCUUUAUCUUUACUGGAUCCUUCGGUCCGUUCGGUCUUAGCUGCAUUCAUAUGGUUCAAUCAAGAGUAAGCAUAACUAGCUCAACAAGUAUUACAAUUCCAUUUAAACAAUAUGCUUAAACAUACAAAUUGUAUAUCUUCAAUAACUGAACAAUAGUUAUGAAGUACUAUCGAUAAUUCAAAAUAGCACCUCUCUUUUCUUUAAAAUGUUUCACAAUGAAUAACAUUCAGUAAAAUAUUAAUUCCGGUCUAAGACCUUGAUCAUUUCAUACUUUCUUUGAAAAGGACAACCCAACACCAAGUCUGUAAGUCCGGUAUAUCUUACGAGCACGUCUAGGUGAUCAGCCUAUAGUACUCUAUGUUGUACAACACUACUUUCUUUAAAUGUAUGUAUGCUUAAGUUUUGGCAACCUCACGUGCCUGUCGUUUGACGAUAAAACAUUUGUUUAGCAUACUCAGUCUUCUUUUGAAAAUCAUACCAAAAUAGUUUGGAAAAUCUUGACAACAGUUCGAUAGAUUAUAAGAAAUCUAAAAACAUCUUAAGUCUAGCCGAAGAAAUUGGCUUUGACUUCAUCACACAUCAAUUCAUGUGUAAGAUACAUGAAUCACAAAGCUUUCCCAGAAUGAACAUAGACAAGGGUUAGAACACUUGCCUUUAGCGUCUACUACUGUAAUUAUACUUUCCCUUUGAGUCUUUAAGGUCUCUACAAUACAUAAUCACAUAAAAUACCACAUUAGGUCAUGAAUAAACAUAUAUGGUUCCAAACAUAUCUUACCCUUCUUCUCAAUCUAAUUGAUUAUUAGAUUUGUUUAACAUUGGUUUCAAUUUAUCGUAUUACAUUGUUCUUACGUUCAAUUAAUCUUUCUUCUACCAUUAGUUGUUAACUUAGGGUUAUAAACAUCUUUUAAUGAUGUUACUUUAAGUUUAUUAAGGAUUUAAUUCAUCUUCAAUCAACUAUCUUUCAUUUUAUAUUCAAAAUCUUUCUUCUCUAUAUUCUUCUUAGUGCUGGCGCUGCGGCGCCAGCUUCCCUUAUACAACUCGCGCUGCGGCGUGGGUUUCCUGUAGGUGAUGCUAAGUCUUGGCACUGCGGCACCACUCUUUCCUCUUUGUGUUGCGCUGCGGCGCCACUUUCCAGUGCCUAUGGUAUGGAAUCGGCGCUGCGGUGCGAGUCCCUUUGUUACCUGCCGCGCUGCGGUGCCAUUCUUAAGUGGUUGAUGGUCAAGUUUGGCGCUGCGGCGCCAAGGACAGUGCCUUGGUUGGCACUGCGGCGCCAACUCUGUACACCAGAUAGUUUUUACAGACUUUUUGCUUAGCGAACUUCCCGUACUCCUAAAUUGUUCAUUUUAAGUCCGAAUUGGCUCGUUCAAAAGCCAUUAGCUCACAAAUCACAUGCUCUAAGUUCUCAUGUAAAAAUUUUACAUUUUUGAAUCUUUUAACUCAGAAUUCACCGAUUAGUUCAUUUUAACGAAAACGAUAAACAUUCGUGAAUGUUCAUAGCUCGUUUCUCCGUUCUAAGUCAGAAUUUGGUCAUUUUUGAGUCCGCAACUCUAAAAUGCAAAUCUAGACUAUUCUCCAUUAAAACCCAACACUUUCAAGUUCAAUGCUAACUUUUGACUUCCAUUCCGAGAAGUUCACGAUUUCGACGAUUAUCGUCUAAUCUCGUAAAUUCCACCAUAACUUCGUUACUUAAUAUUUUUACAUCGUUUCAUAUGGAUUCAUUUCAUUAUACUAACAUCCUAACCAAACAUAUUUCCUUAAAUUAUACACAUGAUAAUUUCUUACAUGUUCUUCCUUAGUUCAUAAUUUAAAUAAGUAUGAAUUACUUGUACAUGACUUAUUAAGGUUUAAGUCCAUUGAUUAACCAUUUUUAUUAGUUCUUAUCAUACAUGCUCUAUCAAUCAACACUUCUCUAUCAACCUACAAUUGAAGAGAUGGAAGAUUAAUAAUCUAGGAUUUUUAUCCUUGAUGAUCACUUGGUUCUUCUUCUUUUCUACUUGAAAUAGCAAGUCUAGCUUUUCUUACUUUUUCUCUCUACUCAAUAAGUUAUGAGUUAUUGGUGGAAAAUUUAACAAGUAAAUAAUCUAGCAACUCUUCUCUUAUUUAUAGGAUUUCCUAAUUGAGGGCAUUCUAGACAUUAAGCAAUCUUACCUCCUUAACCACCUCUUUACUAUUCAUUCCUUGGCCAUCACAUAACUUAUCCUUUUCUUGCUCACCAAGAUCAUGCCAUGUGAUCAUGGGGCCCACAUGGGUUGCCCCAUGGGUCAUUCUUACCCACUGGAUCGAUCCACGGAUCCUGUUCUUAAUUUGGGCUUUAUUUUUAAUUAACUUUAAUUUAUUCUUUGGGCUUGCAUUAUUAAACAUUGGGCCUUAACAUUAAUUCUAAUUGGACUUUAACAAUUCCUUCACAAAUCCUACAAGUCCAAUACACGUGCUUAAUACCUUAUAACGUACAAUCUACGUAUUAUUCUCGUAUACUCAUACAUUAUAUACGACAUACUAUCAUUCAUACAGACUCAUAUAAUACCUCAUAUCAUACUCAUAUUCAUUAUAUCGUACAGUACUUACGUAUCAUACGAUCAUCGUUUACUCAUUAAUGUUUUACUUUCCCUAACAUUCUUGAAUUUAGUCCACAGGCAAAAAAAUGCGUUUGUCAUAUGUGAAUUAUUAUUACAUAAUCCAUGUUCCCUUAACAUUCUAUCAUUACGUAUUUCUUAGAAGUUCAAAAAAUAAUUCCCGAGCAGAAAUCAGUGAAUAGUGUUUUUCGAAAAAUCUCUCGAAAAACUUUUAUUUUCGUCUUGGAAAUUCAAACACUUUAAUUCUACCACAUAGUCAAAUUACUACGACAUUCCGACAUAUCUAGGUUAUAGAAUGACAUUCCUCUUACUAACACAUAAUAAUAAUAAUAUAUAAUACAAUUUUAUUCAUUAUUUAAUGAAAUAAAAUUAUUUUACAAUAAAUCUGAAUUUCUCGGUUGUUACAAGAAAUGAAUUUGAUUAGGUUUUAUAACUUACUUCGUUGAAAUUAUUAUUGGUUUGACAGGAUUGUUGGCACCAUGAAAUGGCCACUGUUUUCGACGAAAUUUCGUUGAAUUUAAUGUAUUUACGAAUGACUUGUCUUCGACGAAUUUUUUUGUCAAAAUUACAUUAUGCUCGACGGAAUUUUGUCCGUCAAAAAUUAAUUCUUCGAAAUUAUCCAUUUUUCUUGUAGUGUGAUGGAUUACAAAUUGUUUUCCUUUUCAAAAUUACAAAGUUGCAAAGUUUUGAAAAAGUAUGGAAGUCCAAUUAAGUACAAACCCCACGCUUGGUCUAGUCAAGCACAAUAAAUUAAUUCAAGCAAAGCGGCAUGCAUGUGGGUUUGUGUAUAAGAACCAUAAUUUUCUGGACCUAAUUACCCUUCUCGGAAGCACCUAUAUAAACAUGCUCGAUCAAUUAGAUACAUGUACACAACUAUCUCAACUAAUACUUUUAUUAGCCAAGAGACAUAUACAAUAUAUAUUUGAAAAUUUAAGAUUUAUUUAUAGCAAUCAAGCAUGGCAGAUUUGGCACCGAAGUCCAUUGUGCUGGCACUUUUCCUCCUCGCAAUAGUUCUCUCCCCAGCAAUGCCAUGUGAGGCAACUCGACUGCCUCAGCGAGGUUCAUAAAUAAUUCUAUAAAUGCAUUUAUUACAUAUAAUUAAUUACUCAAUCAAUUUAUUUUCCUUUAACAUAAAUUAAGUUUUCUGAUUUGUAUAAUUAAUUUAUUAAUGAAUUAUAUAGUUGUUGAUUUGAAUUAAAUAUGCCCACAGAGCUACUUCAGGGAGGCCCCAUAUGUCCUGCUUGUGUGUGUUGUACACCUCCGCCACCGGGCAAAUGUUGUCGUCGUUGCUGUGCUAAUCCAUCUCCUACCAGUCUUCAAUCUCAAAUUAUUAAUAAUGUUUCACCGUGAGAAAUCGAUAUAUCAAUCUCAAUCUCAAUCUAAACCUAAUAAUCCGCACUUAAUUUCAUAUAAUUAAUUUUACUAUAUACACCAUUAAAUAGUAGGAAAUUUAUAUUUUCACAUCAUUUUUUUGACAUUUUCACAUGUAGGGCC